RNAcentral lists this long non-coding RNA (54896 nucleotides) under Xyrichtys novacula (pearly razorfish). Lineage: Eukaryota; Metazoa; Chordata; Actinopteri; Labriformes; Labridae. The record is from RNAcentral.
CUAGGCACUCACGAGGCUGGCUGUGGCAAGUGUAAGUGAAAGCAACACGCACUGGCAGGAAGAACAGCAAACGCCGAUGAAGGAAAAGGGUCUUUGCAGUGAUGGGCGUUACCAGAGAGGGCGAUGGCCAGAGGACACAAAUGGGACGGGGAGGCAGCGCGUUGGGGGGGGGACGCGACACAGCUCGGGCCCGCCAGUGCCCCAACGGGGUCCUAGUUCUUCUUCUUCUUAUUAUUAUUUUUCUGCCCCUUUGAACUGGAAAAUGGCCCACUUCCCACUGGUGAAAACUCAUGAAAUUUGGCAGGACGACCGGGCCUGGUGAAAAAUUCGAUAUUCUGAAGUCACCCAAACAAUCAAAUGCAAAAUGGCUCCAUAGCGCCCCCUAAGGUGAAAAAUUCACAUGAUUGAGUGUCACGCCUGUACGCUUUGUCAAAAUGACACAAAAUUUGACACACACGUGUAUCUCAAUAAGAUCUACAAAAAAGUCAGUGCGGGCGUGUCUGUCAAAUGUACGUUUAAAGGGCUAUUUCGCAUUUUUUGCCGAUCCGCACACAUUGGAAUUUCGCUAACUCCUCCGAAGGCUUUCGUUCCACCGGCACCAAAUUUGCUCAGGCCAAUCUAACCCCCAUGGCCAUUCAAAGUUGUACAAAUCCUGACGCUGCACCCCACGGUUUAGGUUCUAGGGGGCGCCAAAGAUAACCCAAAAAUCCACAUUCUUACAAGUCUUAUAACUUUUUAUUUCUGUCCUCACUGGCCUCCAAGUUUUCUAGGAUGAUGCAAUGUCCAGCCAUCAACACAUUUGUGAAGGAAUUUUUACUCGCCAAAAGAGCGCCCCCCAUGGCAGGAGAAAAAAGUCCAUUUUUUCUUGUCUCCUAAGGCGAAAAUUCACACUAUUGACUGUCACGCCUUUACGCUUUGUCAAAAUGACACAAAAUUUGACACACACAUGUAUCUCAAUAAGAUCUACAAAAAAGUCAGUGCGGGCGUAUCUGUCAAAUGUACGGUUAAAGGGUUAUUCCGCAUUUUUUGCCGAUCCGCACACAUUGGAAUUUCGCUAACUCCUCCGAAGGCUUUCGUUCCACCGGCACCAAAUUUGCUCAGGCCAAUCUAACCCCCAUGGCCAUUCAAAGUUGUACAAAUCAUGACGCUGCACCCCACGGUUUAGGUUCUAGGGGGCGCCAAAGAUAACCCAAAAAUCCACAUUCUUACAAGUCUUAUAACUUUUUAUUUCUGUCCUCACUGGCCUCCAAGUUUUCUAGGAUGAUGCAAUGUCCAGCCAUGAACACAUUUGUGAAGGAAUUUUUACUCGCCAAAAGAGCGCCCCCCAUGGCAGGAGAAAAAAGUCCAUUUUUUCUUGUCUCCUAAGGCGAAAAUUCACACUAUUGACUGUCACGCCUUUACGCUUUGUCAAAAUGACACAAAAUUUGACACACACAUGUAUCUCAAUAAGAUCUACAAAAAAGUCAGUGCGGGCGUAUCUGUCAAAUGUACGGUUAAAGGGUUAUUUCGCAUUUUUUGCCGAUCCGCACACAUUGGAAUUUCGCUAACUCCUCCGAAGGCUUUCGUUCCACCGGCCCCACAUUUGCUCAGGCCAAUCUACACCCCAUGGCCAUUAAAAGUUGUACAAAUCAUGAUGCUGCACCCCACGGUUUACGUUCUAGGGGGCGCCAAAGAUAACCCAAAUAUCCACAGUCUUAAAAGUCUUAUAACUUUUUAUUUUUGUCCUCACUGGCCUCCAAGUUCUCUAGGAUGAUGCAAUGUCCAGCCAUCAACACAUUUGUGAAGGAAUUUUUACUCGCCAAAAGAGCGCCCCCCCAUGGCAGGAGAAAAAAGUCCAUUUUUUCUUGUCUCCUAAGGCGAAAAUACACAUUGUUGACUGUCACGCCUUUACGCUUUGUCAAAAUUACACAAAAUUUGACACACACAUGUAUCUCAAUAAGAUCUACGAAAAAGUCAAUGCGAGCGUAUCUGUUCAAUGUACGGUUAAAGGGCUAUUUCGCAUUUUUUGCCGAUUCGCACACAUUGGAAUGUGGCUAACUCCUCCUAAAGCUUUUGUCCCAUCGGCUUCAAAUUUGCUCAGGUCAAUCUACACCCCAUGGCCAUUCAAAGUUGUACAAAUCAUGACGCUGCACCCCACGGUUUACGUUCUAGGGGGCGCCAAAGAUAACCCAAAAAUCCACAGUCUUAAAAGUCUUAUAACUUUUUAUUUUUGUCCUCACUGGCCUCCAAGUUUUCUAGGAUGAUGCAAUGUCUAGCCAUCAACACAUUUGUGAAGGAAUUUUUACUCCCUAAAAGAGCGCCCCCCCAUGGCAGGAGAAAAAGUCAAGUUUUUCCUGCCCAUCGCUCAAUGACUCAAACACAUCGCUCUCUCGGCAAAACCGAAAGGAGGAGCAACUUGCCAUUUGGAUAUAUCCUAGCUGUGUUUGUGCCCUCACUCAUGGUCCAGUCCUUUUCAAAUAGGACAUGGAGUUUGUCUGCGGCGACGUUUUGGUAGAAACUGCGCCUCCCAUUCAUUAUAAUUGUAAAUGACCACAGACAAGUGCGCACACCAUCUUUGGACCUUGAGUGUGACGCGAUCGGUAGGGAGAGGCGGUCGUGUUGGGGGCGGCGCGACACGGCUCGGGCCCGCCAGUGCCCCAACGGGGCCCUAGUGUUAUUAUUAGGGCCCGAGCCAGCUGCAGAGCAGCCGGGCGUAGGCCCUAUUAUUCCCCAAGUGGUUUUUCUUUGUUUCUUUCUUUCUUUCUUUCUUUAGGGCCCGAGCGUAGCUGCUAAGCAGCUGCGAGAGCCCUAUUGUUCCUGCAUGUUUCCUUCUUUUGUUAUUAUUAUUAUUAUUAUUUUUCCUCCCCUUUGAACUGGAAAAUGGCCCACUUCCCACUGGCGAAAACUCAUGAAAUUUGGCAGGACGACCGGGCCUGGUGAAAAAUUUGAUAUUCCGAAGUCGCCCAAACAAUAAAAUGCAAAAUGGCUCCAUAGCGCCCCCUAAGGUGAAAAUUCACACUAUUGACUGUCACGCGUGUACGCUUUGUCAAAAUGACACAAAAAUUGACACACACAUGUAUCUCAAUAAGAUCUACAAAAAAGUCAGUGCGGGCGUAUCUGUCAAAUGUACGGUUAAAGGGUUAUUUCGCAUUUUUUGCCGAUCCGCACACAUUGGAAUUUCGCUAACUCCUCCGAAGGCUUUCGUUCCACCGGCACCACAUUUGCUCAGGCCAAUCUACACCCCGUGGCCAUUAAAAGUUAUUCAAAUCAUGACGCUGCACCCCACAGUUUAGGUUCUAGGGGGCGCCAAAGAUAACCCUAAAAUCCACAUAUUUAAAAGUCUUAUAACUUUUUAUUUUUGUCCUCACUGGCCUCCAAGUUUUCUAGGAUGAUGCAAUGUCCAGCCAUCAACACAUUUGUGAAGGAAUUUUUACUCCCCAAAAGAGCGCCCCCCCAUGGCAGGAGAAAAAAGUCAAUUUUUUCUUGUCCCCUAAGGUGGAAAUUCACACUAUUGACUGUCACGCCUGUACGCUUUAUCAUAUUGACACAAAAAUUGACACACAUAUGUAUCUCAAUAAGAUCUACAAAAAAGUCAAUGCGCGCGUAUCUGUCAAAUGUACAGUUAAAGGGCUAUUUUGCAUUUUUUGCCGAUUCGCACACAUUGGAAUGUGGCUAACUCCUCCUAAGGCUUUCGUCCCACUGACACCAAAUUUGCUCAGGCCAAUCUACACCCCAUGGCCAUUCAAAGUUGUAAAAAUCAUGACGCUGCACCCCACGGUUUACGUUCUAGGGGGCGCCAAAGAUGACCCAAAAAUCCACAUUCUUAAAGGAAUCACACACCCCCCCCCCCCCCCCCAAGGCAGGAGAAAAAGUCAAGUUAACCCUGCCCAUCGCUCAAUGGCUCAAUCGCAUCGCUCUCCAGGCAACACCGUAAGGAGGAGCAACCCGCCAUUUCGAUAUAUCAUAGCUGUGUUUGUGCCCUCACUCAUGGUCCAGACUUUUUUCAAAUAGGACAUGAAGUUUGUCUGCAGCGAGUGUUUUGGUAGAAACUGCGCCUCCCAUUCAUUAUAAUGGGAAAUGACCACAGACAAGUGCGCACACCAUCUUUGGACCUUGAGUGUGACGCGAUCGGGAGGGGGAGGCGGUCACGUUGGGGGCGGCGCUACAGGGCUCGUGCCCGCCAGUGCCCCAACGGGGUCCUAGUGUUAUUAUUAUUAUUAUUAGGGCCCGAGCGUAGCUGCUAAGCAGCUGCGAGAGCCCUAUUAUUCCCCAAGUGGUUUUUCUUUGUUUCUUUUUAGGGCCCGAGCGUAGCUGCUAAGCAGCUGCGAGAGCCCUCUUGUUCCUGAUGGAUUCUUCUUUUGUUAUUAUUAUUAUUUUUCCUCCGCUUUAAACUGGAAAAUGGCCCACUUCCCACUGGCGAAAACUCAUGAAAUUUGGCAGGACGACCGGGCCUGGUGAAAAAUUCGAUAUUCUGAAGUCGCCCAAACAAGAAAAUGCAAAAUGGCUCCAUAGCGCCCCCUAAGGUGAAAAUUCACACUAUUGACUGUCACGCCUGUACGCUUUGUCAUAUUGACACAAAAAUUGACACACACAUGUAUCUCAAUAAGAUCUACAAAAAAGUCAGUGCGGGCGUAUCUGUCAAAUGUACGGUUAAAGGGUUAUUUUGCAUUUUUUGCAGAUCCGCACACAUUGGAAUUUCGCUAACUCCUCCGAAGGCUUUCGUUCCACCGGCACCACAUUUGCUCAGGCCAAUCUACACUCCAUGGCCAUUCAAAGUUGUACAAAUCAUAAUGCUGCACCCCAUGGUUUAGGUUCUAGGGGGCGCCAAAAAUAACCCAAAAAUCCACAUUCUUAAAAGUUUUAUAAAUUUUUUUUUUUGUCCUCACUGGCCUCCAAGUUUUCUAGGAUGAUGCAAUGUCCAGCCAUCAACACAUUUGUGAAGGAAUUUUUACUCCCCAAAAGAGCGCCCCCCCAUGGCAGGAAUAAAAAGUCCAUUUUUUCUUGUCCCCUAAGGUAAAAAUACACAUUGUUGAGUGUCACGCCUGUACGCUUUGUCGUAUUGACAAAAAAUUUGACACACACGUGUAUCUCAAUAAGAUCUACGAAAAAGUCAAUGGGCGCGUAUCUGUAAAAUGUACGGCUAAAGGGCUAUUUUGCAUUUUUUGCCGAUUCGCACACAUUGGAAUGUGGCUAACUCCUCCUAAGGCUUUCGUCCCACUGACACCAAAUUUGCUCAGGCCAAUCUACACCCCAUGGCCAUUCAAAGUUGUAAAAAUCAUGCCGCUGCACCCCAUGGUUUACGUUCUAGGGGGCGCCAAAGAUGACCCAAAUAUCCACAUUCUUAAAAGUCGUUUUGGCCACUGCAGGAGUACAGAGUACUGCAGGAUACACACACACAGACACACACACACACAGACACACACACACACACACACACACACAGACACACACACACACACUCAGAGUCUGUUUUUUAGCACCUGCAAAAACAUGCUAUUUACAUAUUUGACAACAAUGCAGAGGCUUCCUUUUGCCCCUGAAAAAAAUCAAAUUUCUAACACAACUUGACUGCUCAUUUCUCCAAAAGACAACCAUGAAGCUCCAUCCAAACCUGAAGCAGGCAGUUGGUGCAUGUGUACAGUAACCUGAGGGGAGUGAGGUGACUGCUUCUGAGGAGAACAUGAGCAGUGAAGAUUCACCUUGGAGCGAGAACAGGGACGUGCACAUGAUUAUACGGGGGCAGGGGCUCAAGUUUUUUCCAGUCGUUUAUACAAUAUGGAAAUUAAUGUGAAAUUAAAAAACAAAGUAUUAAUAGAAAGGUAAUGACUGUCCUGUGUAGGUGACAGUGAUAUCCAAUAGGCUAGGCACUCACGAGGCUGGCUGUGGCAAGUGUAAGUGAAAGCAACACGCACUGGCAGGAAGAACAGCAAACGCCGAUGAAGGAAAAGGGUCUUUGCAGUGAUGGGUGUUACCAGAGAGGACGAUGGCCAGAGGACGCGAAUGGGACGGGGAGGCAGCGCGUUGGGGGGGGGGGGGGGGGGGCGACACAGCUCGGGCCCGCCAGUGCCCCAACGGGGCCCUAGUCUUCUUAUUAUUUUUCUGCCCCUUUGAACUGGAAAAUGGCCCACUUCCCACUGGUGAAAAGUCAUGAAAUUUGGCAGGACGACCGGGCCUGGUGAAAAAUUCGAUAUUCUGAAGUCGCCCAAAAAAUCAAAUGCAAAAUGGCUCCAUAGCGCCCCCUAAGGUGAAAAAUUCACAUGAUUGAGUGUCACGCCUGUACGCUUUGUCAAAAUGACACAAAAUUUGACACACACGUGUAUCUCAAUAAGAUCUACAAAAAAGUCAGUGCGGGCGUAUCUGUCAAAUGUACGGUUAAAGGGCUAUUUCGCAUUUUUUGCCGAUCCGCACACAUUGGAAUUUCGCUAACUCCUCCGAAGGCUUUCGUUCCACCGGCACCAAAUUUGCUCAGGCCAAUCUACACCCCAUGGCCAUUAAAAGUUGUACAAAUCAUGACGCUGCAUCCCACGGUUUACAUUUUAGGGGGCGCCAAAGAUAACCCAGAAAUCCACAUUCUUAAAAGUUGUAUAACUUUUUAUUUUUGUCCUCACUGGCCUCCAAGUUUUCUAGGAUGAUGCAAUGUCUAGCCAUCAACACAUUUGUGAAGGAAUUUUUACUCCCCAAAAGAGCGCCCCCCCAUGGCAGGAGAAAAAACUCCAGUUUUUCUUCCCCCCUAAGGUGAAAAUUCACAUUAUUGAGUGUCACGCCUGUACGCUUUGUCAUAUUGAAACAAACUUUAACAAUCACGUGUUUCUCAAUAAGAUCUACGAAAUAGUCCAUGGGCGCGUAUCUGUAAAAUGUACGGUUAAAGGGCUAUUUCGCAUUUUUGGUCGAUUCGCACACAUUGGAAUGUGGCUAACUCCUCCUAAAGCUUUCGUUCCACUGACACCAAAUUUACUCAGGCCAAUCUACACCCCAUGGCCAUUCAAAGUUGUAAAAAUCAUGACGCUGCACCCCACGGUUUAUGUUCUAGGGGGCGCCAAAGAUAACCCAAAAAUCCACAUUCUUAAAUGUCUUAUAACUUUUUAUUUUUGUCCUCACUGGCCUCCAAGUUUUCUAGGAUGAUGCAAUGUCCAGCCAUCAACACAUUUGUGAAGGAAUUUUUACUCCCCAAAAGAGCGCCCCCCCAUGGCAGGAGAAAAAAGUCCAUUUUUUCUUGUCCCCUAAGGUGAAAAUACACAUUGUUGAGUGUCACGCCUGAACUCUUUGUCAUAUUGACACAAAAAUUAACAAUCAUGUGUAUCUCAAUUAGAUCUACGAAAAAGUCAAAGAGCGCGUAUCUGUAUAAUGUACGGUAAAAGGGCUAUUUUGCAUUUUUUGCCGAUUCGCACACAUUGGAAUUUCGCUAACUCCUCCGAAGGCUUUCGUCCCACUGACACCAUAGUUGCUCAGGCCAAUCUACAACCCAUGGCCAUUCAAAGUUGUACAAAUCAUGACGCUGCACCCCACGGUUUAGGUUCUAGGGGGCGCCAAAGAUAACCCAAAAAUCCACAGUCUUAAAAGUCUUAUAACUUUUUAUUUUUGUCCUCACUGGCCUCCAAGUUUUCUAGGAUGAUGCAAUGUCCAGCCAUCAACACAUUUGUGAAGGAAUUUUUACUCCCCAAAAGAGCGCCCCCCCAUGGCAGGAGAAAAAGUCAAGUUUUUCCUGCCCAUCGCUCAAUGGCUCAAACGCAUCGCUCUCUCGGCAAAACCGAAAGGAGGAGCAACUUGCCAUUUGGAUAUAUACUAGCUGUGUUUGUGCCCUCACUCAUGGUCCAGACUUUUUUCAAAAAGGACAUGGAGUUUGUCUGCAGCGAGCGUUUUGGUAGAAACUGCGCCUCCCAUUCAUUAUAAUGGUAAAUGACCACAGACAAGUGCGCACACCAUCUUUGGACCUUGAGUGUGACGCGAUCGGGAGGGGUAGGCGGUCGCACUGGGGGCGGCGCGACACGGCUCGGGCCCGCCAGUGCCCCACCGGGGCCCUAGUUCUUUCUUUAGGGCCCGAGCGUAGCUGCUAAGCAGCUGCGAGAGCCCUCUUGUUCCUGUAGUUUCCUUCUUUUGUUAUUAUUAUUAUUAGGGCCCGAGCGUAGCUGCUAAGCAGCUGCGAGAGCCCUCUUGUUCCUGAUGGAUUCUUCUUUUGUUAUUAUUAUUAUUAUUUUUCCUCCGCUUUAAACUGGAAAAUGGCCCACUUCCCACUGGCGAAAACUCAUGAAAUUUGGCAGGACGACCGGGCCUGGUGAAAAAUUCGAUAUUCUGAAGUCGCCCAAACAAUAAAAUGCAAAAUGGCUCCAUAGCGCCCCCUAAGGUGGAAAUUCACACUAUUGACUGUCACGUCUGUACGUUUUGUCAUAUUGACACAAAAAUUGACACACAUAUGUAUCUCAAUAAGAUCUACAAAAAAGUCAGUGCGGGCGUAUCUGUCAAAUGUACGGUUAAAGGGUUAUUUCGCAUUUUUUGCCGAUCCGCACACAUUGGAAUUUCGCUAACUCCUCCGAAGGCUUUCGUUCCACCGGCACCACAUUUGCUCAGGCCAGUCUACACCCCAUGGCCAUUAAAAGUUGUACAAAUCAUGACGCUGCACCCCACGGUUUAGGUUCUAGGGGGCGCCAAAGAUAACCCAAAAAUCCACAUUCUUAAAAGUCUUAUAACUUUUUAUUUUUGUCCUCACUGCCCUCCAAGUUUUCUAGGAUGAUGCAAUGUCCAGCCAUCAACACAUUUGUGAAGGAAUUUUUACUCCCCAAAAGAGCGCCCCCCAUGGCAGGAGAAAAAAGUCAAUUUUUUCUUGUCCCCUUACAUGAAAAUACACAUUGUUGAGUGUCACGCCUGAACGCUUUGUCAUAAUGACACAAAAAUUGACAAUCAUGUGUAUCUCAAUUAGAUCUACGAAAAAGUCAAAGGGCGCGUAUCUGUAUAAUGUACGGUUAAAGGGCUAUUUCGCAUUUUUUGCCGAUCCGCACACAUUGGAAUGUGGCUAUCUCCUCCUAAGGCUUUCGUCCCACUGAUACCAAAUUUGCUCAGGGCAAUCUACACCCCAUGCCCAUUCAAAGUUGUAAAAAUCAUGACGCUGCACCCCACGGUUUACGUUCUAGGGGGCGCCAAAGAUGACCCAAAAAUCCACAUUCUUAAAAGUCAUUUUGGCCACUGCAGGAGUACAGAGUACUGCAGUUCUAGGGGGCGCCAAAGAUGACCCAAAAAUCCACAUUCUUAAAAGUCUUUUUGGCCACUGCAGGAGUACAGAGUACUGCAGGAUACACACACAUAUACACACACGCCAACACACACACACACACACACACACACACACACACACACACACACACACACACACACACACACACACACACUCAGAGUCUGUUUUUUAGCACCUGCAAAAACAUGCUGUUUACAUAUUUGACAAGAAUGCAGAGGCUUCCUUUUGCCCCUGAAAAAAAUCAAAUUUCAAACACAACUUGACUGUUCAUUUCUCCAAAAGACAACCAUGAAGCUCCAUCCAAACCUGAAGCAGAUAGUUGGUGCAUGUGUACAGUAACCUGAGGGGAGUGAGGUGACUAUUUCUGAGGAGAACAUGAGCAGUGAAGAUUCACCUUGGAGCUAGAACAGGGACGUGCACAUGAUUAUACAGGGGCAGGGGCUCAAGUUUUUUCCAGUCAUUUAUACAAUAUGGAAAUUAAUGUGAAAUUAAAAAACAAAGUAUUAAUAGAAAGGUUAUGACUGUCCUGUGUAGAUGACAGUGAUAUCCAAUAGGCUAGGCACUCACGAGGCUGGCUGUGGCAAGUGUAAGUGAAAGCAACACGCACUGGCAGGAAGAACAGCAAACGCCGAUGAAGGAAAGGGUCUUUGCAGUGAUGGGCGUUACCAGAGAGGACGAUGGCCAGAGGACGCGAAUGGGACGGGGAGGCAGCGCGUUGGGGGGGGCAGCGCGACACGGCUCGGGCCCGCCAGUGCCCCAACGGGGCCCUAGUUAUUAUUUUUCCUCCCCUUUGAACUGGAAAAUGGCCCACUUCCCACUGGCGAAAACUCAUGAAAUUUGGCAGGACGACCGGGCCUGGUGAAAAAUUUGAUAUUCCGAAGUCGCCCAAACAAGAAAAUGCAAAAUGGCUCCAUAGCGCCCCCUAAGGUGAAAAUUCACACUAUUCACUGUCACGCCUGUACGCUUUGUCAAAAUGACACAAAAAUUGACACACACAUGUAUCUCAAUAAGAUCUACAAAAAAGUCAGUGCGGGCGUAUCUGUCAAAUGUACGUUUAAAGGGUUAUUUCGCAUUUUUUGCCGAUCCGCACACAUUGGAAUUUCGCUAACUCCUCCGAAGGCUUUCGUUCCACCGGCACCACAUUUGCUCAGGCCAAUCUACACCCCAUGGCCAUUAAAAGUUAUUCAAAUCAUGACGCUGCACCCCACGGUUUAGGUUCUAGGGGGCGCCAAAGAUAACCCUAAGAUCCACAUAUUUAAAAGUCUUAUAACUUUUUAUUUUUGCCCUCACUGGCCUCCAAGUUUUCUAGGAUGAUGCAAUGUCCAGCCAUCAACACAUUUGUGAAGGAAUUUUUACUCCCCAAAAGAGCGCCCCCCAUGGCAGGAGAAAAAAGUCCAUUUUUUCUUGUCCCCUAAGGUGAAAAUACACAUUGUUGAGUGUAACACCUGUACGCUUUGGCAAAAUGACACCAAAAUUGAGACACACAUGUAUCUCAAUAAGAUCUACAAAAAAGUCAAUGCGCACGUAUCUGUCAAAUGUACGGUUAAAGGGUUAUUCCGCAUUUUUUGCCGAUCCGCACACAUUGGAAUUUCGCUAACUCCUCCGAAGGCUUUCGUUCCACCGGCACCACAUUUUCUCAGGCCAAUCUACACCCCAUGGCCAUUAAAAGUUAUUCAAAUCAUGACGCUGCACCCCACGGUUUAGGUUCUAGGGGGCGCCAAAGAUAACCGUAAAAUCCACAUAUUUAAAAGUCUUAUAACUUUUUAUUUUUGUCCCCACUGGCCUCCAAGUUUUCUAGGAUGAUGCAAUGUCCAGCCAUCAACACAUUUGUGAAGGAAUUUUUACUCGCCAAAAGAGCGCCCCCCCAUGGCAGGAGAAAAAAGUCCAUUUUUUCUUGUCCACUAAGGUGAAAAUACACAUUGUUGAGUGCUACGCCUGUAUGUUUUGUCGUAUUGACACAAAAUUUUACAUACACGUGUCUUUCAAUAAGAUCUUCGAAAAAGUCAAUGGCCACGUAUCUGUAAAAUGUACGGUUAAAGGGUUAUUUCGCAUUUUUUGCAGAUUCGCACACAUUGGAAUUUCGCUAACUCCUCCGAAGGCUUUCGUUCCACCGGCACCACAUUUGCUCAGGCCAAUCUACACCCCAUGGCCAUUAAAAGUUAUUCAAAUCAUGACGCUGCACCCCACGGUUUAGGUUCUAGGGGGCGCCAAAGAUAACCCUAAAAUCCACAUAUUUAAAAGUCUUAUAACUUUUUAUUUUUGUCCUCACUGGCCUCCAUGUUUUCUAGGAUGAUGCAAUGUCCAGCCAUCAACACAUUUGUGAAGGAGUUUUUUCUCGUUAAAAGAGCGCCCCCCAUGGCAGGAGAAUAAAGUCAAGUUUUUCCUGUUCAUCAUUCAAUGGCUCAAACGCACUGCUCUCUCGGCAAAAGCGAAAGGAGGAGCAACUUGCCAUUUGGAUAUAUCUUAGCUGUGUUUGUGCCCUCACUCAUGGUCCAGACUUUUUUCAAAUAGGACAUGGACUUUUUCUGCAGCGAGCGUUUUGGUAGAAACUGCGCCUCCCGUUCAUUUUAAUGGUAAAUGACCACAAACAAGUGCGCACACCAUCUUUGGACCUUGAGUGUGACGCGAUCGGGUGGGGGAGGCGGUCGUGCUGGGGGCGGCGUGACACGGCUCGGGCCCGCCAGUGCCCCAACGGGGCCCUAGUUCUUUCUUUCUUUCUUCUUUUUCCUCCCCUUUGAACUGGAAAAUGGCCCACUUCCCACUGGCGAAAACUCAUGAAAUUUGGCAGGACGACCGGGCCUUGUGAAAAAUUCGAUAUUCUGAAGUCGCCCAAACAAAAAAAUGCAAAAUGGCUCCAUAGCGCCCCCUAAGGUGGAAAUUCACACUAUUGACUGUCACGCCUGUACGCUUUGUCAUAUUGACACAAAAAUUGACACACAUAUGUAUCUCAAUAAGGUCUACAAAAAAGUCAGUGCGGCCGUAUCUGUCAAAUGUACGGUUAAAGGGUUAUUUCGCAUUUUUUUCCGAUCCGCACACAUUGGAAUUUCGCUAACUCCUCCGAAGGCUUUCGUUCCACCGGCACCACAUUUGCUCAGGCCAAUCUACACCCCGUGGCCAUUAAAAGUUAUCAAAAUCAUGACGCUGCACCCCAAGGUUUAGGUUCUAGGGGGCGCCAAAGAUAACACUAAAAUCCACAUAUUUAAAAGUCUUAUAACUUUUUAUUUUUGUCCUCACUGGCCUCCAAGUUUUCUAGGAUGAUGCAAUGUCCAGCCAUCAACACAUUUGUGAAGGAAUUUUUACUCCCCAAAAGAGCGCCCCCCAUGGCAGGAGAAAAAAGUCCAUUUUUUCUUGUCCCCUAAGGUGAAAAUACACAUUGUUGAGUGUCACGCCUAUACGCUUUGUCAAAAUGACACAAAAAUUGACACACACAUGUAACUCAAUAAGAUCUACGAAAAAGUCAACGCACGCGUAUCUGUCAAAUGUACGGUUAAAGGGUUAUUCCGCAUUUUUUGCCGAUCCGCACACAUUGGAAUGUGGCUAACUCCUCCUAAGGCUUUCGUUCCACCGGCACCACAUUUGCUCAGGCCAAUCUACACCCCAUGGCCAUUAAAAGUUAUUCAAAUCAUGACGCUGCACCCCACGGUUUAGGUUCUAGGGGGCGCCAAAGAUAACACUAAAAUCCACAUAUUUAAAAGUCUUAUAACUUUUUAUUUUUGUCCUCACUGGCCUCCAAGUUUUCUAGGAUGAUGCAAUGUCCAGCCAUCAACACAUUUGUGAAGGAAUUUUUACUCCCCAAAAGAGCGCCCCCCCAUGGCAGGAGAAAAAAGUCCAUUUUUUCUUGUCCCCUAAGGUGAAAAUACACAUUGUUGAGUGUCACGCCUAUUCGCUUUGUCAAAAUGACACAAAAAUUGACACACACAUGUAACUCAAUAAGCUCUACGAAAAAGUCAAUGCGCGCGUAUCUGUCAAAUGUACGGUUAAAGGGUUAUUCCGCAUUUUUUUCCGAUCCGCACACAUUGGAAUUUCGCUAACUCCUCCGAAGGCUUUCUGUCCACCGGCACCACAUUUGCUCAGGCCAAUCUACACCCCAUGGCCAUUCAAAGUUAUUCAAAUCGCAACUAUUCAAAUCAUAACUCUGGUUUUAUUUGGCCUAUCAACACAAUUUAAAAACUGGUAUAUAGGUUGAGGUCCUCACUUUUGAGAUAAGUUGAAACGGAGAGUCAACGAGGCUCCGUCUUGCAGCUACAUCCGGUUAAAUAUGUCAUGUGACUUGAACGCACACACAGACACACACACACAGACACACACACACACGCACACACACACACACACACACACACACUCAGAGUCUGGUUUUUAGCACCUGCAAAAACAUGCUAUUUACAUAUUUGACAAAAAUGCAGAGGCUCCUUUUGCCCCUGAAAAAAAUCAAAUUUCAAACACAACUUGACUGGUCAUUUCUCCAAAAGACAACCAUGAAGCUCCAUCCAAACCUGAAGCAGGCAGUUGGUGCAUGUGUACAGUAACCUGAGGGGAGUGAGGUGAGUGCUUCUGAGGAGAACAUGAGCAGUGAAGAUUCACCUUAGAGCUAGAACAGAGACCUGCACAUGAUUAUACAGGGGCAGGGGCUCAAGUUUUUUCCAGUCGUUUAUACAAUAUGGAAAUUAAUGUGAAAUUAAAAAACAAAGUAUUAAUAGAAAGGUAAUGACUGUCCUGUGUAGGUGACAGUGAUAUCCAAUAGGCUAGGCACUCACGAGGCUGGCUGUGGCAAGUGUAAGUGAAAGCAACACGCACUGGCAGGAAGAACAGCAAACGCCGAUGAAGGAAAAGGGUCUUUGCAGUGAUGGGCGUUACCAGAGAGGGCGAUGGCCAGAGGACACAAAUGGGACGGGGAGGCAGCACGUUGGGGGGGGACGCGACACGGCUCGGGCCCGCCAGUGCCCCAACGGGGUCCUAGUCUUCUUCUUAUUAUUUUUCUGCCCCUUUGAACUGGAAAAUGGCCCACUUCCCACUGGUGAAAACUCAUGAAAUUUGGCAGGACGACCGGGCCUGGUGAAAAAUUCGAUAUUCUGAAGUCACCCAAACAAUCAAAUGCAAAAUGGCUCCAUAGCGCCCCCUAAGGUGAAAAAUUCACAUGAUUGAGUGUCACGCCUGUACGCUUUGUCAAAAUGACACAAAAUUUUACACACACGUGUAUCUCAAUAAGAUCUACAAAAAAGUCAGUGCGGGCGUAUCUGUCAAAUGUACGUUUAAAGGGCUAUUUCGCAUUUUUUGCCGAUCCGCACACAUUGGAAUUUCGCUAACUCCUCCGAAGGCUUUCGUUCCACCGGCACCAAAUUUGCUCAGGCCAAUCUACACCCCAUGGCCAUUCAAAGUUGUACAAAUCAUGACGCUGCACCCCAUGGUUUACGUUGUAGGGGGCGCCAAAGAUAACCCAAAAAUCCACAUUCUUACAAGUCUUAUAACUUUUUAUUUCUGUCCUCACUGGCCUCCAGGUUUUCUAGGAUGAUGCAAUGUCCAGCCAUCAACACAUGUGCGAAGGAAUUUUUACUCCCUAAAAGAGUGCCCCCCCAUGGCAGGAGAAAAAAGGCCAUUUUUUCUUGUCCUAUAAGGUGAAAAUACACAUUGUUGAGUGUCACGCCUGUACGCUUUGUCAUAUUGAAACAAAAUUUGAUAAUCACGUGUAUCUCAAUAAGAUCUACGAAAAAGUCAAUGCGCACGUGUCUGCAAAAUGUACGGUUAAAGGGCUAUUUCGCAUUUUUGGUUGAUUCGCACACAUUGGAAUGUGGCUAACUCCUCCUAAAGCUUUCGUUCCACCGGCACCAAAUUUGCUCAGGCCAAUCUACACCCCAUGGCCAUUAAAAGUUGUACAAAUCAUGAUGCUGCACGCCACGGUUUACGUUCUAGGGGUCGCCAAAGAUAACCCAAAAAUCCACAUUCUUAAAAGUCUUAUAACUUUUCAUUUUUGUCCUCACUGGCUUCAAAGUUUUCUAGGAUGAUGCAAUGUCCAGCCAUCAACACAUUUGUGAAGGAAUUUUUUCUCCCUAAAAGAGUGCCCCCCCAUGGCAGGAGAAAAAAGUCCAUUUUUUCUUGUCCCCUAAGGUGAAAAUACACAUUGUUCAGUGUCACGCCUCUACGCUUUGGCAAAAUGACACAAAAAUUGACACACACAUGUAUCUCAAUAAGAUCUACGAAAAAGUCAAUGUGCGCGUAUCCGUCAAAUGUACGGUUAAAGGGUUAUUCCACAUUUUUUGCCGAUCCGCACACAUUGGAAUUUCGCUAACUCCUCCGAAGGCUUUCGUUCCACCGGCACCAAAUUUGCUCAGGUCAAUCUACACCCCAUGGCCAUUAAAAGUUGUACAAAUCAUGACGCUGCACCCCAGGGUUUAGGUUCUAGGGGGCGCCAAAGAUAACCCAAAUAUCCACAUUUUUAAAAGUCUUAUAACUUUAUUUUUGUCCUCACUGGCCUCCAAGUUUUCUAGGAUGAUGCAAUGUCCAGCCAUCAGCACAUGUGCGAAGGAAUUUUUACUCCCCAAAAGAGCGCCCCCCAUGGCAGGAGAAAAAAGUCCAUUUUUUCUUGUCCCCUAAGGUGAAAAUUCACACUAUUGAGUGUCACGCCUGUACGCUUCGUCAUAUUGACACAUAAUUUGACAAUCACGUGUAUCUCAAUAAGAUCUACGAAAAAGUCAGUGCGGGCAUAUCUGUCAAAUGUACGGUUAAAGGGUUAUUCCGCAUUUUUUGCCGAUCCGCACACAUUGGAAUUACGCUAACUCCUCCUAAAGCUUUCGUUCCACCGGCACCAAAUUUGCUCAGGCCAAUCUACACCCCAUGGCCAUUAAAAGUUGUACAAAUCAUGAUGCUGCACCCCACGGUUUAGGUUCAAGGGGGCGCCAAAGAUUACCCAAAUAUCCAUAUUCUUAAAAGUCUUAUAACUUUUUAUUUUUGUCCUCACUGGCCUCCAAGUUUUCUAGGAUGAUGCAAUGUCCAGCCAUCAACACAUUUGUGAAGGAAUUUUUCUCCCCAAAAGAGCGCCCCCCCAUGGCAGGCGAAAAAGUCAAGUUUUUCCUGCCCAUUGCUCAAUGGCUCAAACAUCGCUCUCUCGGCAAAACCGAAAGGAGGAGCAACUUGACAUUUGGAUAUAUACUAGCUGUGUUUCUGCCCUCACUCAUGGUCCAGACUUUUUUCAAAUAGGACAUGGAGUUUUUCUGCAGCGAGCAUUUUGGUAGAAACUGCGCCUCCCAUUCAUUAUAACGGUAAAUGACCACAGACAAGUGCACACACCAUCUUUCGACCUUGAGUGUGACGCGAUCAGGAGGGGGAGGCGGUCGCGCUGGGGGCGGUGCGACAUGGCUCGGGCCCGCCAGUGCCCCAACGGGGCCCUAGUUAUUAUUAUUUUUCCUCCCCUUUGAACUGGAAAAUGGCCCACUUCCCACUGGCGAAAACUCAUGAAAUUUGGCAGGACGACCGGGCCUGGUGAAAAAUUUGAUAUUCCGAAGUCGCCCAAACAAGAAAAUGCAAAAUGGCUCCAUAGCGCCCCCUAAGGUGAAAAUUCACACUAUUGACUGUCACGCCUGUACGCUUUGUCAAAAUGACACAAAAAUUGACACACACAUGUAUCUCAAUAAGAUCUACAAAAAAGUCAGUGCGGGCGUAUCUGUCAAAUGUACGGUUAAAGGGUUAUUUUGCAUUUUUUGCCGAUCCGCACACAUUGGAAUUUCGCUAACUCCUCCGAAGGCUUUCGUUCCACCGGCACCACAUUUGCUCAGGCCAAUCUACACCCCAUGGCCAUUAAAAGUUAUUCAAAUCAUGACGCUGCACCCCACGGUUUAGGUUCUAGGGGGCGCCAAAGAUAACCCUAAAAUCCACAUAUUUAAAAGUCUUAUAACUUUUUAUUUUUGCCCUCACUGGCCUCCAAGUUUUCUAGGAUGAUGCAAUGUCCAGCCAUCAACACAUUUGUGAAGGAAUUUUUACUCCCCAAAAGAGCGCCCCCCCAUGGCAGGAGAAAAAAGUCCAUUUUUUCUUGUCCCCUAAGGUGAAAAUUCACACUAUUGACUGUCACGCCUGUACGCUUUGUCAAAAUGACACAAAAAUUGACACACACAUGUAUCUCAAUAAGAUCUACAAAAAAGUCCAUGCGCGCGUAUCUGUCUAAUGUACGGUUAAAGGGUUAUUUCGCAUUUUUUGCCGAUCCGCACACAUUGGAAUUUCGCUAACUCCUCCGAAGGCUUUCGUUCCACCGGCACCACAUUUGCUCAGGCCAAUCUACACCCCAUGGCCAUUAAAAGUUAUUCAAAUCAUGACGCUGCACCCCACGGUUUACGUUCUAGGGGGCGCCAAAGAUAACCCAAAAAUCCACAUUCUUAAAAGUCUUAUAACUUUUUAUUUUUGUCCUCACUGGCCUCCAAGUUUUCUAGGAUGAUGCAAUGUCCAGCCAUCAACACAUUUGUGAAGGAAUUUUUACUCCCCAAAAGAGCGCCCCCCCAUGGCAUGAGAAAAAAGUCCAUUUUUUCUUGUCCCCUAAGGUGAAAAUACACAUUGUUGACUGUCACGCCUGUACCCUUUGGCAAAAUGACACAAAAAUUGACAAUCAUGUGUAUCUCAAUUAGAUCUACGAAAAAGUCAAAGAGCGCGUAUCUGUAUAAUGUACGGUAAAAGGGCUAUUUUGCAUUUUUUGCCGAUUCGCACACAUUGGAAUUUCGCUAACUCCUCCUAAGGCUUUCGUCCCACUGACACCAAAUUUGCUCAGGCCAAUCUACACUCCAUGGCCAUUCAAAGUUGUAAAAAUCAUGACGCUGCACCCCACGGUUUACGUUUUAGGGGGCGCCAAAGAUGACCCAAAUAUACAUUACAGUAGACAAAGUAGUUUUGCCCACUGAGUGGCGCCAAAGGGACUUGUCUGUGGAGUCUGUGAGUCACUAUUGGCCGUUUUUGACUACUUUAGAUUUUACCUUUAUAUUUCCUCUUACAAAAUUUUUACCUUGCCUUGCCUGGUAUCAUUUUUUUCAGCACAACCUCACCUGUGUCAAUUUACAGUUAUUUUAUCAUUUUGACAUACUAUAUUUAAACAUUGGACCCAAAUUCACACACAAAACAUAAAAUCCGAGUGGAAAAAAGUAACGUUUUUACUGUGAAAACCACAAAUAUGUGUGAUGAACUGUUUUUAAAACUUAAACUUCAAAUAAAAAUUGUAAACUUCAAAACAUAUGCAAAUUUUUAACAAAGAACAUAGUAAUUUACCUCUAUUGUCAUCAAAAUGCAGGCAAUGGCCCAGGUGUUCUUUGUAAAAUUAUUUACAAAACACUGUAUAGUCUCACAAAUGUCACUUUUUAUUUAUGCCACUACAAAAAAACAUGAUGUAAAUGAUGCAUGAUGUAAAACAUGAUGUAAAAAACUUGUGUAGAUCCUCCUCUAUGUUAGUCCAUGUGUAAUUUUUCCAUAAUUCUUUGUUUUUUGCAGCAUUUUUGUUAGUGUAACUGCAGAUUGUGCUGACAGUGUCUAUGGCAAAAAAAAAAAAAAAAAAACUGAAAAUGCCUCAACAUGAACCCCUGGUGGUCUCUGAGGGUGAAACCUGCUAACUGCUGCAGCUCUGUCAGCUUCAGUCUCCCAUGCAGAGCUCGGAGCGCAUGUGUGGCUCUGCACCCUUAGCAGCGUUGCUAACUCCUCAGUAAGGAAAGCCUGCUUCAUGUCAGAGUCUCUAAACUCCAGAAGAAGUCGAUAAAAGUCACUUUCUUUCUAAAAAAAAGUCGUUAGGGGGUCUGAAAAGUCAUUGAAUCUAACAACAAAGUCGCUAGGUUUGCAACUACGUGUCCCAGACUGCAUCCCUGCUGAGAGUCCCUCCCUCCCUUCUCAUAUUGCAGGAAGAACGUAAGUUCCCGCCCCUUGUCAAUCAGUCACCAUAUAAUUUUGGAUUGGUUGUUGUGGUGAAGUUUUCCACCAAUAGGAGAGAUGUUGUGGUGUGUAUUUUUUUUCCUUUGGCAAGCCUUUUCCGCCUGUAAGACCUGUCGCUAAUGUCUGCAUGCUAUGUUUUCCUGUCUCAUACAGCGCGAUCGAGCGCCGAACGUGAUCAAAAUAAGCAGAAAACAAGUAUCGCGGACAUAAUUUAUCAUAACUCUGGUUUUAUUUGGCCUAUCAACACAAUUUAAAAACUGGUAUAUAGGUUGAGGUCCUCACUUUUGAGAUAAAUUGAAACGGAGAGUCAACGAGGCUCCGUCUUGCAGCUACAUCCGGUUAAAUAUGUCAUGUGACUUGAACGCACACACACAGACACACACACACACAGACACACACACUCAGAGUCUGUUUUUUAGCACCUGCAAAAACAUGCUAUUUACAUAUUUGACAAGAAUGCAGAGGCUUCCUUUUGCCCCUGAAAAAAAUCAAAUUUCUAACACAACUUGACUGGUCAUUUCUCCAAAAGACAACCAUGAAGCUCCAUCCAAACCUGAAGCAGGCAGUUGGUGCAUGUGUACAGUAACCUGAGGGGAGUGAGGUGACUGCGUCUGAGGAGAACAUGAGCAGUGAAGAUUUACCUUAGAGCUAGAACAGAGACGUGCACAUGAUUAUACAGGGGCAGGGGCUCAAGUUUUUUCCAGUCGUUUAUACAAUUUGGAAAUUAAUGUGAAAUUAAAAAACAAAGUAUUAAUAGAAAGGUAAUGACUGUCCUGUGUAGGUGACAGUGAUAUCCAAUAGGCUAGGCACUCACGAGGCUGGCUGUGGCAAGUGUAAGUGAAAGCAACACGCACUGGCAGGAAGAACAGCAAACGCCGAUGAAGGAAAAGGGUCUUUGCAGUGAUGGGCGUUACCAAAGAGGGCGAUGGCCAGAGGACACAAAUGGGACGGGGAGGCAGCGUGUUGGGGGGGGGACGCGACACAGCUCGGGCCCGCCAGUGCCCCAACGGGGUCCUAGUUAGGGCCCGAGCGUAGCUGCUAAGCAGCUGCGAGAGCCCUCUUGUUCCUGAUGGAUUCUUCUUUAGGGCCCGAGCGUAGCUGCUAAGCAGCUGCGAGAGCCCUCUUGUUCCUGUAGUUUCCUUCUUUUGUUAUUAGGGCCCGAGCGUAGCUGCUAAGCAGCUGCGAGAGCACUGUUGUUCCUGAUGGAUUCUUCUUUCUUCUUCUUCUUCUUAUUAGGGCCCGAGCGUAGCUGCUAAGCAGCUGCGAGAGCACUGUUGUUCCUGAUGGAUUCUUCUUUCUUCUUUAGGGCCCGAGCGUAGCUGCUAAGCAGCUGCGAGAGCCCUAUUAUUCCUGAUGGAUUCUUCUUUCUUCUUCUUCUUCUUAUUAGGGCCCGAGCGUAGCUGCUAAGCAGCUGCGAGAGCCCUCUUGUUCCUGUAGUUUCCUUCUUUUGUUAUUAUUAGGGCCCGAGCGUAGCUGCUAAGCAGCUGCGAGAGCCCUCUUGUUCCUGUAGUUUCCUUCUUUUGUUAUUAGGGCCCGAGCGUAGCUGCUAAGCAGCUGCGAGAGCCCUCUUGUUCCUGCAUGUUUCCUUCUUUCGUUAUUAUUUUUCCUCCGCUUUAAACUGGAAAAUGGCCCACUUCCCACUGGCGAAAACUCAGGAAAUUUGGCAGGACGACCGGGCCUGGUGAAAAAUUCGAUAUUCUGAAGUCGCCCAAACAAUAAAAUGCAAAAUGGCUCCAUAGCGCCCCCUAAGGUGAAAAUUCACAUGACGGCUGUACGCUUUGUCAUAUUGACACAAAAAUUGACACACACAUGUAUGUCAAUAAGAUCUACAAAAAAGUCAGUGCGGGCGUAUCUGUCAAAUGUACGGUUAAUGGGUUAUUUUGCAUUUUUUGCAGAUCUGCACACAUUGGAAUUUCGCUAACUCCUCCGAAGGCUUUCGUUCGACCGGCACCACAUUUGCGCAGGCCAAUCUACCCCCCAUGGCCAUUAAAAGUUGUACAAAUCAUGACGCUGCACCCCACGGUUUACGUUCUAGGGGGCGCCAAAGAUAACCCAAAAUCCACAUUCGUAAAAGUCUUAUAACUUUUUAUUUUUGUCCUCACUGCCCUCCAAGUUUUCUAGGAUGAUGCAAUGUCCAGCCAUCAACACAUUUGUGAAGGAAUUUUUACUCCCCAAAAGAGCGCCCCCCAUGGCAGGAGAAAAAAGUCAAUUUUUUCUUGUCCCCUAAGGUGAAAAUACACAUUGUUGAGUGUCACGCCUAUACGCUUUGUCAUAUUGACCCAAAAUUUGACAAUCACGUGUAUCUCAAUAAGAUCUACGAAAAAGUCAAUGGGCACGUAUCUGUAAAAUGUACGGUUAAAGGGUUAUGUCGCAUUUUUUCCCGAUCCGCACACAUUGGAAUUUCGCUAACUUCUCCGAAGGCUUUCGUUCCACCGCCACCAAAUUUGCUCAGGCCAAUCUACACCCCAUGGCCAUUCAAAGUUGUACAAAUCAUGAUGCUGCACUCCACAGUUUAGGUUCUAGGGGGCGCCAAACAUAACCCUAAAAUCCACAUUCUUAAUAGUCUUAUAACUUUUUAUUUUUGUCCUCACUGGCCUCCAAGUUUUCUAGGAUGAUGCAAUGUCCAGCCAUCAACACAUUUGUAAAGGAAUUUUUACUCUCGAAAAGAGCGCCCCCCAUGGCAGGAGAAAAAAGUCAAUUUUUUCUUGUCCCCUAAGGUGAAAAAACACAUUGUUGAGUGUCACUCCUAUACGCUUUGUCAAAAUGACACAAAAUUUGACACACACGUGUAUCUCAAUAAGAUCUACGAAAAAGUCAAUGUGCACGCAUCUGUAAAAUGUACAGUCAAAGGGCUAUUUCGCAUUUUUUCCCGAUCCGCACACAUUGGAAUUUCGCUAACUCCUCCUAAGGCUUUCGUCCCACCGACACCAAAUUUGCUCAAGCAGAUCUACAUCCCAUGGCCAUUCAAAGUUGUAAAAAUCAUGACGCUGCACCCCACGGUUUACGUUCUAAGGGGCGCCAAAGAUGACCCUAAAAUCCACAUUCUUAAUAGUCUUAUAACUUUUUAUUUUUGUCCUCACUGGCCUCCAAGUUUUCUAGGAUGAUGCAAUGUCCAGCCAUCAACACAUUUGUAAAGGAAUUUUUACUCUCGAAAAGAGCGCCCCCCCAUGGCAGGAGAAAAAAGUCAAUUUUUUCUUGUCCCCUAAGGUGAAAAAACACAUUGUUGAGUGUCACUCCUAUACACUUUGUCAAAAUGACACAAAAUUUGACACACACGUGUAUCUCAAUAAGAUCUACGAAAAAGUCAAUGUGCACGCAUCUGUAAAAUGUACAGUCAAAGGGCUAUUUCGCAUUUUUUCCCGAUCCGCACACAUUGGAAUUUCGCUAACUCCUCCUAAGGCUUUCGUCCCACCGAAACCAAAUUUGCUCAAGCAGAUCUACAUCCCAUGGCCAUUCAAAGUUGUAAAAAUCAUGACUCCCCUUCGCUCUCUUCGGCAAAACCGAAAGGAGGAGCAACUUGCCAUUUGGAUAUAUACUAGCUGUGUUUCUGCCCUCACUCAUGGUCCAGACGUUUUUCAAAUAGGACAUGGAGUUUUUCUGCAGCGAGCGUUUUGGUAGAAACUGCGCCUCCCAUUCAUUAUAACGGUAAAUGACCACAGACAAGUGCACACACCAUCUUUCGACCUUGAGUGUGACGCGAUCAGGAGGGGGAGGCGGUCGCGCUGGGGGCGGUGCGACAUGGCUCGGGCCCGCCAGUGCCCCAACGGGGCCCUAGUUAUUAUUUUUCCUCCCCUUUGAACUGGAAAAUGGCCCACUUCCCACUGGCGAAAACUCAUGAAAUUUGGCAGGACGACCGGGCCUGGUGAAAAAUUUGAUAUUCCGAAGUCGCCCAAACAAGAAAAUGCAAAAUGGCUCCAUAGCGCCCCCUAAGGUGAAAAUUCACACUAUUGACUGUCACGCCUGUACGCUUUGUCAAAAUGACACAAAAAUUGACACACACAUGUAUCUCAAUAAGAUCUACAAAAAAGUCAGUGCGGGCGUAUCUGUCAAAUGUACGGUUAAAGGGUUAUUUCGCAUUUUUUGCCGAUCCGCACACAUUGGAAUUUCGCUAACUCCUCCGAAGGCUUUCGUUCCACCGGCACCACAUUUGCUCAGGCCAAUCUACACCCCAUGGCCAUUAAAAGUUAUUCAAAUCAUGACGCUGCACCCCACGGUUUAGGUUCUAGGGGGCGCCAAAGAUAACCCUAAGAUCCACAUAUUUAAAAGUCUUAUAACUUUUUAUUUUUGCCCUCACUGGCCUCCAAGUUUUCUAGGAUGAUGCAAUGUCCAGCCAUCAACACAUUUGUGAAGGAAUUUUUACUCCCCAAAAGAGCGCCCCCCCAUGGCAGGAGAAAAAAGUCCAUUUUUUCUUGUCCCCUAAGGUGAAAAUACACAUUGUUGAGUGUAACACCUGUACGCUUUGGCAAAAUGACACAAAAAUUGACACACACAUGUAUCUCAAUAAGAUCUACGAAAAAGUCAAUGCGCGCGUAUCUGUCAAAUGUACGGUUAAAGGGUUAUUCCGCAUUUUUUGCCGAUCCGCACACAUUGGAAUUUCGCUAACUCCUCCGAAGGCUUUCAUUCCACCGGUACCACAUUUGCUCAGGCCAAUCUACACCCCAUGGCCAUUAAAAGUUAUUCAAAUCAUGACGCUGCAUCCCACGGUUUAGGUUCUAGGGGGCGCCAAAGAUAACCCUAAAAUCCACAUAUUUAAAAGUCUUAUAACUUUUUAUUUUUGUCCUCACUGGCCUCCAAGUUUUCUAGGAUGAUGCAAUGUCCAGCCAUCAACACAUUUGUGAAGGAAUUUUUACUCCCCAAAAGAGCGCCCCCCCAUGGCAGGAAAAAAAAGCCAAUUUUUUCUUGUCCCCUAGGUGGAAAUUCACACUAUUGACUGUCACGCCUGUACGCUUUAUCAUAUUGACACAAAAAUUGACACACAUAUGUAUCUCAAUAAGAUCUACAAAAGAAUCGAUUCGCGCGUAUCUGUCAAAUGUACGGUUAAAGGGCUAUUUUGCAUUUUUUGCCGAUUCGCACACAUUGGAAUGUGGCUAACUCCUCCUAAGGCUUUCGUCCCACUGACACCAAAUUUGCUCAGGCCAAUCUACACCCCAUGGCCAUUCAAAGUUGUAAAAAUCAUGACGCUGCACCCCACGGUUUACGUUCUAGGGGGCGCCAAAGAUGACCCAAAAAUCCACAUUCUUCAAAGAAUCCACAUCCCCCCCCCCCCCAUAUGGCAGGAGAAAAAGUUAAGUUUUUCCUGCCCAUCGCUCAAUGGCUCAAUCGCAUCGCUCUCCAGGCAACACCGUAAGGAGGAGCAACCUGCCAUUUCGAUAUAUCAUAGCUGUGUUUGUGCCCUCACUCAUGGUCCAGACUUUUUUCAAAUAGGACAUGAAGUUUGUCUGCAGCGAGUGUUUUGGUAGAAACUGCGCCUCCCAUUCAUUAUAAUAGGAAAUGACCACAGACAAGUGCGCACACCAUCUUUGGAUCUUGAGUGUGACGCGAUCGGGAGGGGGAGGCGGUCGCACUGGGGGCGGCGCGACACGGCUCGGGCCCGACAGUGCCCCAACGGGGUCCUAGUUCUUUGUUUCUUUCUUUCUUCUUUUUCCUCCCCUUUGAACUGGAAAAUGGCCCACUUCCCACUGGCGAAAACUCAUGAAAUUUGGCAGGAUGACCGGGCCUGGUGAAAAAUUCGAUAUUCUGAAGUAGCCCAAACAAUAAAAUGCAAAAUGGCUCCAUAGCGCCCCCUAAGGUGAAAAUUCACACUAUUGACUGUCACGCCUUUACGCUUUGUCAUAUUGACACAAAAAUUGACACACACAUGUAUCUCAAUAAGAUCUACAAAAAAGUCAGUGCGGGCGUAUCUGUCAAAUGUACGGUUAAAGGGUUAUUCCGCAUUUUUUGCCGAUCCGCACACAUUGGAAUUUCGCUAACUCCUCCGAAGGCUUUCGUUCCACCGGCACCACAUUUGCUCAGGCCAAUCUACACCCCAUGGCCAUUAAAAGUUAUUCAAAUCAUGACGCUGCACCCCACGGUUUAGGUUCUAGGGGGCGCCAAAGAUAACCCUAAAAUCCACAUAUUUAAAAGUCUUAUAACUUUUUAUUUUUGACCUCACUGGCCUCCAAGUUUUCUAGGAUGAUGCAAUGUCCAGCCAUCAACACAUUUGUGAAGGAAUUUUUAAUCCCCAAAAGAGCGCCCCCCAUGGCAGGAGAAAAAAGUCAAUUUUUUCUUGUCCCCUAAGGUGAAAAUACACAUUGUUGAGUGUCACGCCUGUACGCUUUGUCAUAUUGACACAAAAUUUGACACACACAUGUAUCUCAAUAAGAUCUACGAAAAAGUCAAUGCGCGCGUAUCUGUCAAAUGUACGGUUAAAGGGUUAUUCCGCAUUUUUUGCUGAUCCGCACACAUUGGAAUUUCGCUAACUCCUCCUAAGGCUGGCGUUCCACCGGCACCAAAUUUGCUCAGGCCAAUCUACACCCCAUGGCCAUUAAAAGUUAUUCAAAUCAUGACGCUGCACCCCACGGUUUAGGUUCUAGGGGGCGCCAAAGAUAACCCUAAAAUCCACAUAUUUCAAAGUCUUAUUAGGGCCCGAGCCAGCUGCAGAGCAGCCGGGCGUAGGCCCUAUUAUUCCCCAAGUGGUUUUUCUUUGUUUCUUUCUUUAGGGCCCGAGCGUAGCUGCUAAGCAGCUGCGAGAGCCCUCUUGUUCCUGUAGUUUCCUUCUUUUGUUAUUAUUAUUAUUUUUCCUCCCCUUUGAACUGGAAAAUGGCCCACUUCCCACUGGCGAAAACUCAUGAAAUCUGGCAGGACGACCGGGCCUGGUGAAAAAUUUGAUAUUCCGAAGUCGCCCAAACAAGAAAAUGCAAAAUGGCUCCAUAGCGCCCCCUAAGGUGAAAAUUCACACUAUUCACUGUCACGCCUGUACGCUUUGUCAAAAUGACACAAAAAUUGACACACACAUGUAUCUCAAUAAGAUCUACAAAAAAGUCAGUGCGGGCGUAUCUGUCAAAUGUACGGUUAAAGGGUUAUUUCGCAUUUUUUGCCGAUCCGCACACAUUGGAAUUUCGCUAACUCCUCCGAAGGCUUUCGUUCCACCGGCACCACAUUUGCUCAGGCCAAUCUACACCCCAUGGCCAUUAAAAGUUAUUCAAAUCAUGACGCUGCACCCCACGGUUUAGGUUCUAGGGGGCGCCAAAGAUAACCGUAAAAUCCACAUAUUUAAAAGUCUUAUAACUUUUUAUUUUUGUCCCCACUGGCCUCCAAGUUUUCUAGGAUGAUGCAAUGUCCAGCCAUCAACACAUUUGUGAAGGAAUUUUUACUCGCCAAAAGAGCGCCCCCCCAUGGCAGGAGAAAAAAGUCCAUUUUUUCUUGUCCACUAAGGUGAAAAUACACAUUGUUGAGUGCUACGCCUGUAUGUUUUGUCGUAUUGACACAAAAUUUUACAUACACGUGUAUUUCAAUAAGAUCUUCAAAAAAUUCAAUGGCCACGUAUCUGUAAAAUGUACGGUUAAAGGGUUAUUUCGCAUUUUUUGCAGAUUCGCACACAUUGGAAUUUCGCUAACUCCUCCGAAGGCUUUUGUUCCACCGGCACCACAUUUGCUCAGGCCAAUCUACACCCCAUGGCCAUUAAAAGUUAUUCAAAUCAUGACGCUGCACCCCACGGUUUAGGUUCUAGGGGGCGCCAAAGAUAACCCUAAAAUCCACAUAUUUAAAAGUCUUAUAACUUUUUAUUUUUGUCCUCACUGGCCUCCAUGUUUUCUAGGAUGAUGCAAUGUCCAGCCAUCAACACAUUUGUGAAGGAGUUUUUUCUCGUUAAAAGAGCGCCCCCCCAUGGCAGGAGAAUAAAGUCAAGUUUUUCCUGUUCAUCAUUCAAUGGCUCAAACGCACUGCUCUCUCGGCAAAAGCGAAAGGAGGAGCAACUUGCCAUUUGGAUAUAUCUUAGCUGUGUUUGUGCCCUCACUCAUGGUCCAGACUUUUUUCAAAUAGGACAUGGAGUUUUUCUGCAGCGAGCGUUUUGGUAGAAACUGCGCCUCCCGUUCAUUAUAAUGGUAAAUGACCACAAACAAGUGCGCACACCAUCUUUGGACCUUGAGUGUGACGCGAUCGGGUGGGGGAGGCGGUUGCGCUGGGGGCAGCGUGACACGGCUCGGGCCCGCCAGUGCCCCAACGGGGCCCUAGUUAUUUUUCCUCCCCUUUGAACUGGAAAAUGGCCCACUUCCCACUGGCGAAAACUCAUGAAAUUUGGCAGGACGACCGGGCCUGGUGAAAAAUUUGAUAUUCCGAAGUCGCCCAAACAAGAAAAUGCAAAAUGGCUCCAUAGCGCCCCCUAAGGUGAAAAUUCACACUAUUCACUGUCACGCCUGUACGCUUUGUCAAAAUGACACAAAAAUUGACACACACAUGUAUCUCAAUAAGAUCUACAAAAAAGUCAGUGCGGGCGUAUCUGUCAAAUGUACGGUUAAAGGGUUAUUUCGCAUUUUUUGCCGAUCCGCACACAUUGGAAUUUCGCUAACUCCUCCGAAGGCUUUCGUUCCACCGGCACCACAUUUGCUCAGGCCAAUCUACACCCCAUGGCCAUUAAAAGUUAUUCAAAUCAUGACGCUGCACCCCACGGUUUAGGUUCUAGGGGGCGCCAAAGAUAACCCUAAAAUCCACAUAUUUAAAAGUCUUAUAACUUUUUAUUUUUGCCCUCACUGGCCUCCAAGUUUUCUAGGAUGAUGCAAUGUCCAGCCAUCAACACAUUUGUGAAGGAAUUUUUACUCCCCAAAAGAGCGCCCCCCCAUGGCAGGAGAAAAAAGUCCAUUUUUUCUUGUCCCCUAAGGUGAAAAUUCACACUAUUGACUGUCACGCCUGUACGCUUUGUCAAAAUGACACAAAAAUUGACACACACAUGUAUCUCAAUAAGAUCUACAAAAAAGUCCAUGCGCGCGUAUCUGUCUAAUGUACGGUUAAAGGGUUAUUUCGCAUUUUUUGCCGAUCCGCACACAUUGGAAUUUCGCUAACUCCUCCGAAGGCUUUCGUACCACCGGCACCACAUUUGCUCAGGCCAAUCUACACCCCAUGGCCAUUAAAAGUUAUUCAAAUCAUGACGCUGCACCCCACGGUUUAGGUUCUAGGGGGCGCCAAAGAUAACCCAAAAAUCCACAUUUUUAAAAGUCUUAUAACUUUUUAUUUUUGUCCUCACUGGCCUCCAAGUUUUCUAGGAUGAUGCAAUGUCCAGCCAUCAACACAUUUGUGAAGGAAUUUUUACUCCCUAAAAGAGCGCCCCCCAUGGCAGGAGAAAAAAGUCCAUUUUUUCUUGUCCCCUAAGGUGAAAAUACACAUUGUUGACUGUCACGCCUGUACGCUUUGGCAAAAUGACACAAAAAUUGACAAUCAUGUGUAUCUCAAUUAGAUCUACGAAAAAGUCAAUGCGCGCGUAUCUGUAUAAUGUACGGUAAAAGGGCUAUUUUGCAUUUUUUGCCGAUUCGCACACAUUGGAAUUUCGCUAACUCCUCCUAAGGCUUUCGUCCCACUGACACCAAAUUUGCUCAGGCCAAUCUACACUCCAUGGCCAUUCAAAGUUGUAAAAAUCAUGACGCUGCACCCCACGGUUUACGUUUUAGGGGGCGCCAAAGAUGACCCAAAUAUACAUUACAGUAGACAAAGUAGUUUUGCCCACUGAGUGGCGCCAAAGGGACUUGUCAGUGGAGUCUGUGAGUCACUAUUGGCCGUUUUUGACUACUUUAGAUUUUACCUUUAUAUUUCCUCUUACAAAAUUUUUACCUUGCCUUGCCUGGUAUCAUUUUUUUCAGCACAACCUCACCUGUGUCAAUUUACAGUUAUUUUAUCAUUUUGACAUACUAUAUUUACACAUUGGACCCAAAUUCACACACAAAACAUAAAAUCCGAGUGGAAAAAAGUAACGUUUUUACUGUGAAAACCACAAAUAUGUGUGAUGAACUGUUUUUAAAACUUAAACUUCAAAUAAAAAUUGUAAACUUCAAAACAUAUGCAAAUUUUUAACAAAGAACAUAGUAAUUUACCUCUAUUGACAUCAAAAUGCAGGCAAUGGCCCAGGUGUUCUUUGUAAAAUUAUUUACAAAACACUGUAUAGUCUCACAAAUGUCACUUUUUAUUUAUGCCACUACAAAAAAACAUGAUGUAAAUGAUGCAUGAUGUAAAACAUGAUGUAAAAAACUUGUGUAGAUCCUCCUCUAUGUUAGUCCAUGUGUAAUUUUUCCAUAAUUCUUUGUUUUUUGCAGCAUUUUUGUUAGUGUAACUGCAGAUUGUGCUGACAGUGUCUAUGGCAAAAAAAAAAAAAAAAAACUGAAAAUGCCUCAACAUGAACCCCUGGUGGUCUCUGAGGGUGAAACCUGCUAACUGCUGCAGCUCUGUCAGCUUCAGUCUCCCAUGCAGAGCUCGGAGCGCAUGUGUGGCUCUGCACCCUUAGCAGCGUUGCUAACUCCUCAGUAAGGAAAGCCUGCUUCAUGUCAGAGUCUCUAAACUCCAGAAGAAGUCGAUAAAAGUCACUUUCUUUCUAAAAAAAAGUCGUUAGGGGGUCUGAAAAGUCAUUGAAUCUAACAACAAAGUCGCUAGGUUUGCAACUACGUGUCCCAGACUGCAUCCCUGCUGAGAGUCCCUCCCUCCCUUCUCAUAUUGCAGGAAGAACGUAAGUUCCCGCCCCUUGUCAAUCAGUCACCAUAUAAUUUUGGAUUGGUUGUUGUGGUGAAGUUUUCCACCAAUAGGAGAGAUGUUGUGGUGUGUAUUUUUUUUCCUUUGGCAAGCCUUUUCCGCCUGUAAGACCUGUCGCUAAUGUCUGCAUGCUAUGUUUUCCUGUCUCAUACAGCGCGAUCGAGCGCCGAACGUGAUCAAAAUAAGCAGAAAACAAGUAUCGCGGACAUAAUUUAUCAUAACUCUGGUUUUAUUUGGCCUAUCAACACAAUUUAAAAACUGGUAUAUAGGUUGAGGUCCUCACUUUUGAGAUAAAUUGAAACGGAGAGUCAACGAGGCUCCGUCUUGCAGCUACAUCCGGUUAAAUAUGUCAUGUGACUUGAACGCACACACACACACACACGCACACACACACACUCAGAGUCUGGUUUGUAGCACCUGCAAAAACAUGCUAUUUACAUAUUUGACAAAAAUGCAGAGGCUCCUUUUGCCCCUGAAAAAAAUCAAAUUUCAAACACAACUUGACUGGUCAUUUCUCCAAAAGACAACCAUGAAGCUCCAUCCAAACCUGAAGCAGGCAGUUGGUGCAUGUGUACAGUAACCUGAGGGGAGUGAGGUGACUGCUUCUGAGGAGAACAUGAGCAGUGAAGAUUUACCUUAGAGCUAGAACAGAGACGUGCACAUGAUUAUACAGGGGCAGGGGCUCAAGUUUUUUCCAGUCGUUUAUACAAUUUGGAAAUUAAUGUGAAAUUAAAAAACAAAGUAUUAAUAGAAAGGUAAUGACUGUCCUGUGUAGGUGACAGUGAUAUCCAAUAGGCUAGGCACUCACGAGGCUGGCUGUGGCAAGUGUAAGUGAAAGCAACACGCACUGGCAGGAAAAACAGCAAACGCCGAUGAAGGAAAAGGGUCUUUGCAGUGAUGGGCGUUACCAAAGAGGGCGAUGGCCAGAGGACACAAAUGGGACGGGGAGGCAGCGCGUUGGGGGGGGGACGCGACACAGCUCGGGCCCGCCAGUGCCCCAACGGGGUCCUAGUUAUUUUUCUGCCCCUUUGAACUGGAAAAUGGCCCACUUCCCACUGGUGAAAACUCAUGAAAUUUGGCAGGACGACCGGGCCUGGUGAAAAAUUCGAUAUUCUGAAGUCACCCAAACAAUCAAAUGCAAAAUGGCUCCAUAGCGCCCCCUAAGGUGAAAAAUUCACAUGAUUGAGUGUCACGCCUGUACGCUUUGUCAAAAUGACACAAAAUUUGACACACACGUGUAUCUCAAUAAGAUCUACAAAAAAGUCAGUGCGGGCGUAUCUGUCAAAUGUACGUUUAAAGGGCUAUUUCGCAUUUUUUGCCGAUCCGCACACAUUGGAAUUUCGCUAACUCCUCCGAAGGCUUUCGUUCCACCGGCACCAAAUUUGCUCAGGCCAAUCUACACCCCAUGGCCAUUCAAAGUUGUACAAAUCAUGACGCUGCACCCCACGGUUUACGUUGUAGGGGGCGCCAAAGAUAACCCAAAAAUCCACAUUCUUACAAGUCUUAUAACUUUUUAUUUCUGUCCUCACUGGCCUCCAAGUUUUCUAGGAUGAUGCAAUGUCCAGCCAUCAACACAUUUGUGAAGGAAUUUUUACUCCCCAAAAGAGCGCCCCCCCAUGGCAGGAGAAAAAAGGCCAUUUUUUCUUGUCCUAUAAGGUGAAAAUACACAUUGUUGAGUGUCACGCCUGUACGCUUUGUCAUAUUGAAACAAAAUUUGAUAAUCACGUGUAUCUCAAUAAGAUCUACGAAAAAAACAAUGCGCACGUGUCUGCAAAAUGUACGGUUAAAGGGCUGUUUCGCAUUUUUGGUUGAUUCGCACACAUUGGAAUGUGGCUAACUCCUCCUAAAGCUUUCGUUCCACCGGCACCAAAUUUGCUCAGGCCAAUCUACACCCCAUGGCCAUUAAAAGUUGUACAAAUCAUGAUGCUGCACCCCACGGUUUACGUUCUAGGGGUCGCCAAAGAUAACCCAAAAAUCCACAUUCUUAAAAGUCUUAUAACUUUUCAUUUUUGUCCUCAUUGGCUUCAAAGUUUUCUAGGAUGAUGCAAUGUCUAGCCAUCAACACAUUUGUGAAGGAAUUUUUUCUCCCCAAAAGAGCGCCCCCCCAUGGCAGGAGAAAAAGUCAAGUUUUUCCUGCCCAUCGCUCAAUGGCUCAAACACAUCGCUCUCUCGGAAAAAAACGAAAGGAGGAGGAACUUGCCAUUUGGAUAUAUCCUAGCUGUGUUUGUGCCCUCACUCAUGGUCCAGACUUUUUUCAAAUAGGACAUGUAGUUUGUCUGCAGCAAGCGUUUUGGUAGAAACUGCGCCUCCCAUUCAUUAUAAUGGUAAAUGACCACAGACAAGUGCGCACACCAUCGUUGAACCUUGAGUGUGACGCGAUCGGGAGGGAGAGGCGGUCGUGUUGGGGGCGGCGUGACACAGCUCGGGCCCGCCAGUGCCCCAACGGGGCCCUAGUUAUUAUUAUUAUUAUUUUUCCUCCGCUUUAAACUGGAAAAUGGCCCACUUCCCACUGGCGAAAACUCAUGAAAUUUGGCAGGACGACCGGGCCUGGUGAAAAAUUCGAUAUUCUGAAGUCGCCCAAACAAUAAAAUGCAAAAUGGCUCCAUAGCGCCCCCUAAGGUGGAAAUUCACACUAUUGACUGUCACGUCUGUACGUUUUGUCAUAUUGACACAAAAAUUGACACACAUAUGUAUCUCAAUAAGAUCUACAAAAAAGUCAGUGCGGGCGUAUCUGUCAAAUGUACGGUUAAAGGGUUAUUUCGCAUUUUUUGCCGAUCCGCACACAUUGGAAUUUCGCUAACUCCUCCGAAGGCUUUCGUUCCACCGGCACCACAUUUGCUCAGGCCAGUCUACACCCCAUGGCCAUUAAAAGUUGUACAAAUCAUGACGCUGCACCCCACGGUUUAGGUUCUAGGGGGCGCCAAAGAUAACCCAAAAAUCCACAUUCUUAAAAGUCUUAUAACUUUUUAUUUUUGUCCUCACUGCCCUCCAAGUUUUCUAGGAUGAUGCAAUGUCCAGCCAUCAACACAUUUGUGAAGGAAUUUUUACUCCCCAAAAGAGCGCCCCCCCAUGGCAGGAGAAAAAAGUCAAUUUUUUCUUGUCCCCUUACAUGAAAAUACACAUUGUUGAGUGUCACGCCUGAACGCUUUGUCAUAUUGACACAAAAAUUGACAAUCAUGUGUAUCUCAAUUAGAUCUACGAAAAAGUCAAAGAGCGCGUAUCUGUAUAAUGUACGGUUAAAGGGCUAUUUCGCAUUUUUUGCCGAUUCGCACACAUUGGAAUGUGGCUAUCUCCUCCUAAGGCUUUCGUCCCACUGAUACCAAAUUUGCUCAGGGCAAUCUACACCCCAUGCCCAUUCAAAGUUGUAAAAAUCAUGACGCUGCACCCCACGGUUUACGUUCUAGGGGGUGCCAAAGAUGACCCAAAAAUCCACAUUCUUAAAAGUCAUUUUGGCCACUGCAGGAGUACAGAGUACUGCAGUUCUAGGGGGCGCCAAAGAUGACCCAAAAAUCCACAUUCUUAAAAGUCUUUUUGGCCACUGCAGGAGUACAGAGUACUGCAGGAUACACACACAUAUACACACACGCCACACACACACACACACACACACACACACACACACACACACACACACACACUCAGAGUCUGUUUUUUAGCACCUGCAAAAACAUGCUGUUUACAUAUUUGACAAGAAUGCAGAGGCUUCCUUUUGCCCCUGAAAAAAAUCAGAUUUCAAACACAACUUGACUGUUCAUUUCUCCAAAAGACAACCAUGAAGCUCCAUCCAAACCUGAAGCAGAUAGUUGGUGCAUGUGUACAGUAACCUGAGGGGAGUGAGGUGACUAUUUCUGAGGAGAACAUGAGCAGUGAAGAUUCACCUUGGAGCUAGAACAGGGACGUGCACAUGAUUAUACAGGGGCAGGGGCUCAAGUUUUUUCCAGUCAUUUAUACAAUAUGGAAAUUAAUGUGAAAUUAAAAAACAAAGUAUUAAUAGAAAGGUAAUGACUGUCCUGUGUAGGUGACAGUGAUAUCCAAUAGGCUAGGCACUCACGAGGCUGGCUGUGGCAAGUGUAAGUGAAAGCAACACGCACUGGCAGGAAGAACAGCAAACGCCGAUGAAGGAAAGGGUCUUUGCAGUGAUGGGCGUUACCAGAGAGGACGAUGGCCAGAGGACGCGAAUGGGACGGGGAGGCAGCGCGUUGGGGGGGGCAGCGCGACACGGCUCGGGCCCGCCAGUGCCCCAACGGGGCCCUAGUUAUUAUUUUUCCUCCGCUUUAAACUGGAAAAUGGCCCACUUCCCACUGGCGAAAACUCAGGAAAUUUGGCAGGACGACCGGGCCUGGUGAAAAAUUCGAUGUUCUGAAGUCGCCCAAACAAUAAAAUGCAAAAUGGCUCCAUAGCGCCCCCUAAGGUGAAAAUUCACAUGACGGCUGUACGCUUUGUCAUAUUGACACAAAAAUUGACACACACAUGUAUCUCAAUAAGUUCUACAAAAAAGUCAGUGCGGGCUUAUCUGUCAAAUGUACGGUUAAUGGGUUAUUUUGCAUUUUUUGCAGAUCUGCACACAUUGGAAUUUCGCUAACUCCUCCGAAGGCUUUCGUUCGACCGGCACCACAUUUGCGCAGGCCAAUCAACCCCCCAUGGCCAUUAAAAGUUGUACAAAUCAUGACGCUGCACCCCACGGUUUACGUUCUAGGGGGCGCCAAAGAUAACCCAAAAUCCACAUUCUUAAAAGUCUUAUAACUUUUUAUUUUUGUCCUCACUGCCCUCCAAGUUUUCUAGGAUGAUGCAAUGUCCAGCCAUCAACACAUUUGUGAAGGAAUUUUUACUCCCCAAAAGAGCGCCCCCCCAUGGCAGGAGAAAAAAGUCAAUUUUUUCUUGUCCCCUUACAUGAAAAUACACAUUGUUGAGUGUCACGCCUGAACGCUUUGUCAUAUUGACACAAAAAUUGACAAUCAUGUGUAUCUCAAUUAGAUCUACGAAAAAGUCAAAAAGCGCAUAUCUGUAUAAUGUACGGUUAAAGGGCUAUUUCGCAUUUUUUGCCGAUUCGCACACAUUGGAAUGUGGCUAUCUCCUCCUAAGGCUUUCGUCCCACCGAUACCAAAUUUGCUCAGGGCAAUCUACACCCCAUGCCCAUUCAAAGUUGUAAAAAUCAUGACGCUGCACCCCACGGUUUACGUUCUAGGGGGCGCCAAAGAUGACCCAAAAAUCCACAUUCUUAAAAGUCAUUUUGGCCACUGCAGGAGUACAGAGUACUGCAGGAUACACACACAUAUACACACACACACACACACACACACACACUCAGAGUCUGUUUUUUAGCACCUGCAAAAACAUGCUGUUUACAUAUUUGACAAGAAUGCAGAGGCUUCCUUUUGCCCCUGAAAAAAAUCAGAUUUCAAACACAACUUGACUGUUCAUUUCUCCAAAAGACAACCAUGAAGCUCCAUCCAAACCUGAAGCAGAUAGUUGGUGCAUGUGUACAGUAACCUGAGGGGAGUGAGGUGACUAUUUCUGAGGAGAACAUGAGCAGUGAAGAUUCACCUUGGAGCUAGAACAGGGACGUGCACAUGAUUAUACAGGGGUAGGGGCUCAAGUUUUUUCCAGUCAUUUAUACAAUAUGGAAAUUAAUGUGAAAUUAAACCACAAAUAUGUGUGAUGAACUGUUUUUAAAACUUAAACUUCAAAUAAAAAUUGUAAACUUCAAAACAUAUGCAAAUUUUUAACAAAGAACAUAGUAAUUUACCUCUAUUUACAUCAAAAUGCAGGCAAUGGCCCAGGCGUUCUUUGUAAAAUUAUUUACAAAACACUGUAUAGUCUCACAAAUGUCACUUUUUAUUUAUGCCACUACAAAAAAACAUGAUGUAAAUGAUGCAUGAUGUAAAACAUGAUGUAAAAAACUUGUGUAGAUCCUCCUCUAUGUCAGUCCAUGUGUAAUUUUUCCAUAAUUCUUUGUUUUUUGCAGCAUUUUUGUUAGUGUAACUGCAGAUUGUGCUGACAGUCUAUGGCAAAAAAAACAAAAACUGAAAAUGCCUCAACAUGAACCCCUGGUGGUCUCUGAGGGUGAAACCUGCUAACUGCUGCAGCUCUGUCAGCUUCAGUCUCCCAUGCAGAGCUCGGAGCGCAUGUGUGGCUCUGCACCCUUAGCAGCGUUGCUAACUCCUCAGUAAGGAAAGCCUGCUUCAUGUCAGAGUCUCUAAACUCCAGAAGAAGUCGAUAAAAGUCCCUUUCUUUCUAAAAAAAAGUCGUUAGGGGGUCUGAAAAGUAAUUGAAUCUAACAACAAAGUCGCUAGGUUUGCAACUACGUGUCCCAGACUGCAUCCCUGCUGAGAGUCCCUCCCUCCCUUCUCAUGUUGCAGGAAGAACGUAAGCGCCCGCCCCUUGUCAUUCAGUCACCAUAUAAUUUUGGAUUGGUUGUUGUGGUGAAGUUUUCCACCAAUAGGAGAGAUGUUGUGGUGUGUUUUUUUUUUCUUUUGGCAAGCCUUUUCCGCCUGUAAGACCUGUCGCUAAUGUGUGCAUGCUAUGUUUUCCUGUCUCAUACAGCGCGAUCGAGCGCCGAACGUGAUCAAAAUAAGCAGAAAAAAAGUAUCGCGGACAUAAUUUAUCAUAACUCUGGUUUUAUUUGGCCUAUCAACACAAUUUAAAAACUGGUAUAUAGGUUGAGGUCCUCACUUUUGAGAUAAGUUGAAACGGAGAGUUAACGAGGCUCCGUCUUGCAGCUACAUCCGGUUAAAUAUGUCAUGUGACUUGAACGCUGGGGAGCGUCAAUCGAAUCGAAUCAAACCUAACUCUCAGAUGAAUCUUCAAAAUUCACCUCAGAAAUAUGCUUAUUAUUCUUCUCAGAGUACUGCAGGAUACACACACAGACACACACACACACACGCACACACACACACACACACACACACACACACACACACACACACUCGGAGUCUGUUUUUUAGCACCUGCAAAAACAUGCUAUUUACAUAUUUGACAAGAAUGCAGAGGCUUCCUUUUGCCCCUGAAAAAAAUCAAAUUUCAAACACAACUUGACUGGUCAUUUCUCCAAAAGACAACCAUGAAGCUCCAUCCAAACCUGAAGCAGGCAGUUGGUGCAUGUGUACAGUAACCUGAGGGGAGUGAGGUGACUGCUUCUGAGGAGAACAUGAGCAGUGAAGAUUCACCUUGGAGCUAGAACAGGGACGUGCACAUGAUAAUACAGGGGCAGGGGCUCAAGUUUUUUCCAGUCGUUUAUACAAUAUGGAAAUUAAUGUGAAAUUAAAAAACAAAGUAUGACUGUCCUGUGUAGGUGACAGUGAUAUCCAAUAGGCUAGGCACUCACGAGGCUGGCUGUGGCAAGUGUAAGUGAAAGCAACACGCACUGGCAGGAAGAACAGCAAACGCAGAUGAAGGAAAAGGGUCUUUGCUGUGAUGGGCGUUACCAGAGAGGGCGAUGGCCAGAGGACACGAAUGGGACGGGGAGGCAGCGCGUUGGGGGGGGGGGGGGUGCGACACGGCUCGGGCCCGCCAGUGCCCCAACGGGGCCCUAGUUAGGGCCCGAGCGUAGCUGCUAAGCAGCUGCGAGAGCCCUCUUGUUCCUGCAUGUUUCCUUCUUUCGUUAUUAUUUUUCCUCCGCUUUAAACUGGAAAAUGGCCCACUUCCCACUGGCGAAAACUCAGGAAAUUUGGCAGGACGACCGGGCCUGGUGAAAAAUUCGAUAUUCUGAAGUCGCCCAAACAAUAAAAUGCAAAAUGGCUCCAUAGCGCCCCCUAAGGUGAAAAUUCACAUGACGGCUGUACGCUUUGUCAUAUUGACACAAAAAUUGACACACACAUGUAUGUCAAUAAGAUCUACAAAAAAGUCAGUGCGGGCGUAUCUGUCAAAUGUACGGUUAAUGGGUUAUUUUGCAUUUUUUGCAGAUCUGCACACAUUGGAAUUUCGCUAACUCCUCCGAAGGCUUUCGUUCGACCGGCACCACAUUUGCGCAGGCCAAUCUACCCCCCAUGGCCAUUAAAAGUUGUACAAAUCAUGACGCUGCACCCCACGGUUUACGUUCUAGGGGGCGCCAAAGAUAACCCAAAAUCCACAUUCGUAAAAGUCUUAUAACUUUUUAUUUUUGUCCUCACUGCCCUCCAAGUUUUCUAGGAUGAUGCAAUGUCCAGCCAUCAACACAUUUGUGAAGGAAUUUUUACUCCCCAAAAGAGCGCCCCCCCAUGGCAGGAGAAAAAAGUCAAUUUUUUCUUGUCCCCUAAGGUGAAAAUACACAUUGUUGAGUGUCACGCCUAUACGCUUUGUCAUAUUGACCCAAAAUUUGACAAUCACGUGUAUCUCAAUAAGAUCUACGAAAAAGUCAAUGGGCACGUAUCUGUAAAAUGUACGGUUAAAGGGUUAUGUCGCAUUUUUUCCCGAUCCGCACACAUUGGAAUUUCGCUAACUUCUCCGAAGGCUUUCGUUCCACCGCCACCAAAUUUGCUCAGGCCAAUCUACACCCCAUGGCCAUUCAAAGUUGUACAAAUCAUGAUGCUGCACUCCACAGUUUAGGUUCUAGGGGGCGCCAAACAUAACCCUAAAAUCCACAUUCUUAAUAGUCUUAUAACUUUUUAUUUUUGUCCUCACUGGCCUCCAAGUUUUCUAGGAUGAUGCAAUGUCCAGCCAUCAACACAUUUGUAAAGGAAUUUUUACUCUCGAAAAGAGCGCCCCCCCCAUGGCAGGAGAAAAAAGUCAAUUUUUUCUUGUCCCCUAAGGUGAAAAAACACAUUGUUGAGUGUCACUCCUAUACGCUUUGUCAAAAUGACACAAAAUUUGACACACACGUGUAUCUCAAUAAGAUCUACGAAAAAGUCAAUGUGCACGCAUCUGUAAAAUGUACAGUCAAAGGGCUAUUUCGCAUUUUUUCCCGAUCCGCACACAUUGGAAUUUCGCUAACUCCUCCUAAGGCUUUCGUCCCACCGACACCAAAUUUGCUCAAGCAGAUCUACAUCCCAUGGCCAUUCAAAGUUGUAAAAAUCAUGACGCUGCACCCCACGGUUUACGUUCUAAGGGGCGCCAAAGAUGACCCUAAAAUCCACAUUCUUAAUAGUCUUAUAACUUUUUAUUUUUGUCCUCACUGGCCUCCAAGUUUUCUAGGAUGAUGCAAUGUCCAGCCAUCAACACAUUUGUAAAGGAAUUUUUACUCUCGAAAAGAGCGCCCCCCCAUGGCAGGAGAAAAAAGUCAAUUUUUUCUUGUCCCCUAAGGUGAAAAAACACAUUGUUGAGUGUCACUCCUAUACACUUUGUCAAAAUGACACAAAAUUUGACACACACGUGUAUCUCAAUAAGAUCUACGAAAAAGUCAAUGUGCACGCAUCUGUAAAAUGUACAGUCAAAGGGCUAUUUCGCAUUUUUUCCCGAUCCGCACACAUUGGAAUUUCGCUAACUCCUCCUAAGGCUUUCGUCCCACCGAAACCAAAUUUGCUCAAGCAGAUCUACAUCCCAUGGCCAUUCAAAGUUGUAAAAAUCAUGACUCCCCUUCGCUCUCUUCGGCAAAACCGAAAGGAGGAGCAACUUGCCAUUUGGAUAUAUACUAGCUGUGUUUCUGCCCUCACUCAUGGUCCAGACGUUUUUCAAAUAGGACAUGGAGUUUUUCUGCAGCGAGCGUUUUGGUAGAAACUGCGCCUCCCAUUCAUUAUAACGGUAAAUGACCACAGACAAGUGCACACACCAUCUUUCGACCUUGAGUGUGACGCGAUCAGGAAGGGGAGGCGGUCGCGCUGGGGGCGGUGCGACAUGGCUCGGGCCCGCCAGUGCCCCAACGGGGCCCUAGUUCUUCUUUAGGGCCCGAGCGUAGCUGCUAAGCAGCUGCGAGAGCCCUCUUGUUCCUGAUGGAUUCUUCUUUUGUUAUUAUUUAGGGCCCGAGCGUAGCUGCUAAGCAGCUGCGAGAGCCCUCUUGUUCCUGAUGGAUUCUUCUUUCGUUAUUUUUCCUCCGCUUUAAACUGGAAAAUGGCCCACUUCCCACUGGCGAAAACUCAGGAAAUUUGGCAGGACGACCGGGCCUGGUGAAAAAUUCGAUAUUCUGAAGUCGCCCAAACAAAAAAAUGAAAAAUGGCUCCAUAGCGCCCCCUAUGGUGAAAACUCACCUGACGCCUGUACGCUUUGUCAAAAUGACACAAAAAUUGACACACAUGUGUAUCUCAAUAAGAUCUACAAAAAAGUCAGUGCGGGCGUAUCUGUCAAAUGUACCGUUAAAGGGCUAUUUCGCAUUUUUUGCCGAUCCGCACACAUUGGAAUUUCGCUAACUCCUCCGAAGGCUUUCCUUCCACCGGUACCAAAUUUGCUCAGGCCAAUCUACACCCCAUGGCCAUUAAAAGUUGUACAAAUCAUGACGCUGCACCCCACGGUUUAGGUUCUAGGGGGCGCCAAAGAUAACCCAAAAAGCCACAUUCUUAAAAGUCUUAUAACUUUUUAUUUUUGUCCUCACUGGCCUCCAAGUUUUCUAGGAUGAUGCAAUGUCCAGCCAUCAACACAUUUGUGAAGGAAUUUUUACUCCCCAAAAGAGCGCCCCCCCAUGGCAGUAGAAAAAAGUCCAUUUUUUCUUGUCCCCUAAGGUGAAAAUACACAUUGUUGAGUGUCACGCCUAAACGCUUUGUCAUAUUGACACAAAAUUUGACAAUCACGUGUAUCUCAAUAAGAUCUACGAAAAAGUCAAAGAGCGCGUAUCUGUAUAAUGUACGGUAAAAGGGCUAUUUUGCAUUUUUUGCCGAUCCGCACACAUUGGAAUUUCACUAACUCCUCCGAAGGCUUUCAUUCCACCGACACCAAAUUUGCUCAGGCCAAUCUACACCCCAUGGCCAUUAAAAGUUGUACAAAUCAUGAUGCUGCACCCCACGGUUUACGUUCUAGGGGGCGCCAAAGAUGACCCAAAUAUCCACAUUCUUAAAAGUCUUAUAACUUUUUAUUUUUGUCCUCACUGGCCUCCAAGUUUUCUUGGACGAUGCAAUGUCCAGCCAUCAACACAUUUGUGAAGGAAUUUUUACUCCCCAAAAGAGCGCCCCCCAUGGCAGGAGAAAAAAGUCCAUUUUUUCUUGUCCCCUAAGGUGAAAAUACGCACUGUUGAGUGUCACGCCUGUACGCUUUGUCAAAAUGACACAAAAAUUGACACACACAUGUAUCUCAAUAAGAUCUACGAAAAAGUCAAUGCACGCGUAUCUGUCAAAUGUACGGUUAAAGGGUUAUUCCGCAUUUUUUGCUGAUCCGCACACAUUGGAAUGUGGCUAACUCCUCUGAAGGCUUUCGUUCCAUCGGCACCAAAUUUGCUGAGGCCAAUCUACACCCCAUGGCCAUUAAAAGUUAUUCAAAUCAUGACGCUGCACCCCACGGUUUACGUUCUAGGGGGCGCCAAAGAUGACACAAAUAUCCACAUAUUUAAAAGUCUUAUAACUUUUUAUUUUCGUCCUCACUGGCCUCCAAGUUUUCUAGGAUGAUGCAAUGUCCAAAUAUCCACAUUCUUAAAAGAAUCUACAUCCCCCCCCCCAUCCCCCAAGUUUUUCCUGCCCAUCACUCAAUGGCUCAAUCGCAUCGCUCUCCCGGCAACACCGUAAUGAGGAGCAACUUGCCGUUUGGAUAUAUCCUAGCUGUGUUUGUGCCCUCACUCAUGGUCCAGACUUUUUUCAAAUAGGACAUGUAGUUUGUCUGCAGCGAGUGUUUUGGUAGAAACUGCGCCUCCCAUUCAUUAUAAUGGGAAAUGACCACAGACAAGUGCGCACACCAUCUUUGGACCUUGAGUGUGACGCGAUCGGGAGGGGGAGGCGGUCGCGCUGGGGGCGGCUCGACGCGGCUCGGGCCCGACAGUGCCCCACCGGGGCCCUAGUAUUAUUAUUUUUCCUCCGCUUUAAACUGGAAAAUGGCCCACUUCCCACUGGCGAAAACUCAUGAAAUUUGGCAGGACGACCGGGCCUGGUGAAAAAUUCGAUAUUCUGAAGUCGCCCAAACAAUAAAAUGCAAAAUGGCUCCAUAGCGCCCCCUAAGGUGGAAAUUCACACUAUUGACUGUCACGUCUGUACGUUUUGUCAUAUUGACACAAAAAUUGACACACAUAUGUAUCUCAAUAAGAUCUACAAAAAAGUCAGUGCGGGCGUAUCUGUCAAAUGUACGGUUAAAGGGUUAUUUCGCAUUUUUUGCCGAUCCGCACACAUUGGAAUUUCGCUAACUCCUCCGAAGGCUUUCGUUCCACCGGCACCACAUUUGCUCAGGCCAGUCUACACCCCAUGGCCAUUAAAAGUUGUACAAAUCAUGACGCUGCACCCCACGGUUUAGGUUCUAGGGGGCGCCAAAGAUAACCCAAAAAUCCACAUUCUUAAAAGUCUUAUAACUUUUUAUUUUUGUCCUCACUGCCCUCCAAGUUUUCUAGGAUGAUGCAAUGUCCAGCCAUCAACACAUUUUUGAAGGAAUUUUUACUCCCCAAAAGAGCGCCCCCCCAUGGCAGGAGAAAAAAGUCAAUUUUUUCUUGUCCCCUUACAUGAAAAUACACAUUGUUGAGUGUCACGCCUGAACGCUUUGUCAUAUUGACACAAAAAUUGACAAUCAUGUGUAUCUCAAUUAGAUCUACGAAAAAGUCAAAGAGCGCGUAUCUGUAUAAUGUACGGUUAAAGGGCUAUUUCGCAUUUUUUGCCGAUUCGCACACAUUGGAAUGUGGCUAUCUCCUCCUAAGGCUUUCGUCCCACUGAUACCAAAUUUGCUCAGGGCAAUCUACACCCCAUGCCCAUUCAAAGUUGUAAAAAUCAUGACGCUGCACCCCACGGUUUACGUUCUAGGGGGCGCCAAAGAUGACCCAAAAAUCCACAUUCUUAAAAGUCAUUUUGGCCACUGCAGGAGUACAGAGUACUGCAGUUCUAGGGGGCGCCAAAGAUGACCCAAAAAUCCACAUUCUUAAAAGUCUUUAUGGCCACUGCAGGAGUACAGAGUACUGCAGGAUACACACACAUAUACACACACGCCAACACACACACACACACACACACACACACACACACACACACACACACACACACACACACUCAGAGUCUGUUUUUUAGCACCUGCAAAAACAUGCUGUUUACAUAUUUGACAAGAAUGCAGAGGCUUCCUUUUGCCCCUGAAAAAAAUCAAAUUUCAAACACAACUUGACUGGUCAUUUCUCCAAAAGACAACCAUGAAGUUCCAUCCAAACCUGAAGCAGAUAGUUGGUGCAUGUGUACAGUAACCUGAGGGGAGUGAGGUGACUAUUUCUGAGGAGAACAUGAGCAGUGAAGAUUCACCUUGGAGCGAGAACAGGGACGUGCACAUGAUUAUACAGGGGCAGGGGCUCAAGUUUUUUCCAGUCAUUUAUACAAUAUGGAAAUUAAUGUGAAAUUAAAAAACAAAGUAUUAAUAGAAAGGUUAUGACUGUCCUGUGUAGAUGACAGUGAUAUCCAAUAGGCUAGGCACUCACGAGGCUGGCUGUGGCAAGUGUAAGUGAAAGCAACACGCACUGGCAGGAAGAACAGCAAACGCCGAUGAAGGAAAAGGGUCUUUGCAGUGAUGGGCGUUACCAGAGAGGGCGAUGGCCAGAGGAAACAAAUGGGACGGGGAGGCAGCGCGUUGGGGGGGGGGACGCGACACAGCUCGGGCCCGCCAGUGCCCCAACGGGGUCCUAGUUAGGGCCCGAGCGUAGCUGCUAAGCAGCUGCGAGAGCCCUAUUGUUCCUGUAUCGGUUUUUCUUUCUUCUUUCUUUCUUUCUUUCUUUCUUCUUAUUUUUCCUCCCCUUUGAACUGGAAAAAAACUCACUUCCCACUGGCGAAAACUCAUGAAAUUUGGCAGGACGACCGGGCCUGGUGAAAAAUUCGAUAUUCUGAAGUCGCCUAAACAAUAAAAUGCAAAAUGGCUCCAUAGCGCCCCCAAAGGUGAAAAUUCACACCAUUGACUGUCACGCCUGUACGCUUUGUCAAAAUGACACAAAAUUUGACACACAUAUGUAUCUCAAUAAGAUCUACGAAAAAAUCAGCGCGGGCGUAUCUGUCAAAUGUACGGUUAAAGGUUUAUUUCGCAUUUUUUGCCGAUCCGCACACAUUGGAAUUUCGCUAACUCCUCCGAAGGCUUUUGUUCCACUGGCACCACAUUUGCUCAGGUCAAUCUACACCCCAUGGCCAUUAAAAGUUGUACAAAUCAUGACGCUGCACCCCGCGGUUUAGGUUCUAGGGGGCGCCAAAGAUGACCCAAAAAUCCACAUUCUUAAAAGUCUUAUAACUUUUUAUUUUUGUCCCCACUGGCCUUGAAGUUCUCUAGGAUGAUGCAAUGUCCAGCCAUCAACACAUUUGUGGAGGAAUUUUUACUCCCCAAAAGAGCGCCCCCCCAUGGCAGGAGAAAAAAGGCCAUUUUUUCUUGUCCCCUAAGGUGAAAAUACACAUUGUUGAGUGUCACACCUGUACGCUUUGUCAUAUUGACACAAAAUUUGACAAUCACGUGUAUCUCAAUAAGAUCUACGAAAAAGUCAAUGCGGGCGUAUCUGUCAAAUGUACGGUUAAAGGGCUAUUUCGCAUUUUUUGCCAAUUCGCACACAUUGGAAUGUGGCUAACUCCUCCUAAAGCUUUCGUCCCAUCAACACCAAAUGUGCUCAGGCCAAUCUACACCCCAUGGCCAUUCAAAGUUGUAAAAAUCAUGAUGCUGCACCCAACGGUUUACGUUCUAGGGGGCGCCAAAGAUAACCCAAAAAUCCACAUUUUCAAAAGUCUUAUAACUUUUUAUUUUUGUCCUCACUGGCCUCCAAGUUUUCUAGGAUAAUGCAAUGUUCAGCCAUUAACACAAUUGUGAAGGAAUUUUUACUCCCCAAAAGAGCGCCCCCCAUGGCAGGAGAAAAAGUCAAGGUUUUCCUGCCCAUCGCUCAAUGGCUCAAACGCAUCGCUCUCUCGGCAAAACCGAAAGGAGGAGCAACUUGCCAUUUGGAUAUAUCCUAGCUGUGUUUGUGCCCUCACUCAUGGUCCAGACUUUUUUCAAAAAGGACAUGGAGUUUUUCUGCAGCGAGCAUUUUGGUAGAAACUGCGCCUCCCAUUCAUUAUAAUGGUAAAUGACCACAGACAAGUGCGCACACCAUCUUUGGACCUUGAGUGUGAGGCGAUCGGAAGGGGGGCGGUCGCGAUGGGGGCGGCACAACACGGCUCGGGCCCGCCAGUGCCCCAACGGGGCCCUAGUCUUCUUAUUAGGGCCCGAGCGUAGCUGCUAAGCAGCUGCGAGAGCCCUCUUGUUCCUGAUGGAUUCUUCUUUCGUUAUUUUUCCUCCGCUUUAAACUGGAAAAUGGCCCACUUCCCACUGGCGAAAACUCAUGAAAUUUGGCAGGACGACCGGGCCUGGUGAAAAAUUCGAUAUUCUGAAGUCGCCCAAACAAUAAAAUGCAAAAUGGCUCCAUAGCGCCCCCUAAGGUGAAAAUUCACAUGCGGGCUGUACGCUUUGUCAAAAUGACACAAAAAUUGACACACACAUGUAUCUCAAUAAGAUCUACAAAAAAGUCAGUGCGGGCGUAUCUGUCAAAUGUACGGUUAAAGGGUUAUUUCGCAUUUUUUGCAGAUCUGCACACAUUGGAAUUUCGCUAACUCCUCCGAAGGCUUUCGUUCCACCGGCACCACAUUUGCGCAGGCCAAUCUACCCCCCAUGGCCAUUAAAAGUUGUACAAAUCAUCUUGCUGCACCCCACGGUUUAGGUUCUAGGGGGCGCCAAAGAUAACCCAAAAAUCCAAAGUGUUAAAAGUCUUAUAACUUUUUAUUUUUCUCCAAACUGGCCUCCAAGUUUUCUAGGAUGAUGCAAUGUCCAGCCAUCAACACAUCUGUGAACAAAUUUUUACUCCCCAAAAGAGCGCCCCCCAUGGCAGGAGAAAAAAGUCCAUUUUUUCUUGUCCCGUAAGGUGAAAAUACACAUUUUUGAGUGUCACCCCUGUACCCUUUGUCAUAUUGACACAAAAUUUGACAAUAACGUGUAUCUCAAUAAGAUCUACGAAAAAGUCAAAGGGCACAUAUCUGUCAAAUGUACGGUUAAAGGGCUAUUUUGCAUUUUUUGCCGAUUCGCACACAUUGGAAUUUCGCUAACUCCUCCGAAGGCUAUCUUUCUACCGGCACCAAAUUUGCUCAGGCUAAUCUACACCCCAUGGCCAUUAAAAGUUGUACAAAUCAUGAUGCUGCCCUCCACGGUUUAGGUUCUAGGGGGCGCCAAAGAUAACCCAAAAAUCCACAUUCUUAAUAGUCUUAUAACUUUUUAGUUUUGUCCUCACUGGCCUCUAAGUUUUCUAGGAUGAUGCAAUGUCCAGCCAUCAACACAUUUGUAAAGGAAUUUUUACUCCCGAAAAGAGCGCCCCCCCAUGGCAGGAGAAAAAAGUCAAUUUUUUCUUGUCCCCUAAGGUGAAAAAACACAUUGUUGACUGUCACGCCUAUACGCUUUGUCAAAAUGACACAAAAUUUGACACACACGUGUAUCUCAAUAAGAUCUACGAAAAAGUCAAAGAGCGCGUAUCUGUAUAAUGUACGGUUAAAGGGCUAUUUUGCAUUUUUUGCCGAUUCGCACACAUUGGAAUGUGGCUAUCUCCUCCUAAGGCUUUCGUCCCACCGAUACCAAAUUUGCUCAGGGCAAUCUACACCCCAUGCCCAUUCAAAAUUGUAAAAAUCAUGACGCUGCACCCCACGGUUUACGUUCUAGGGGGCGCCAAAGAUGACCCAAAAAUCCACAUUCUUAAAAGUCUUUUUGGCCACUGCAGGAGUACAGAGUACUGCAGUUCUAGGGGGCGCCAAAGAUGACCCAAAAAUCCACAUUCUUAAAAGUCUUUUUGGCCACUGCAGGAGUACAGAGUACUGCAGGAUACACACACAUAUACACACACGCCAACAUACACACACACACACACAGACACACACACACACACUCAGAGUCUGUUUUUUAUCACCUUCAAAAACAUGCUGUUUACAUAUUUGACAAGAAUGCAGAGGCUUCCUUUUGCCCCUGAAAAAAAUCAAAUUUCAAACACAACUUGACUGUUCAUUUCUCCAAAAGACAACCAUGAAGCUCCAUUUCAAACCUGAAGCAAAUAGUUGGUGCAUGUGUACAGUAACCUGAGGGGAGUGAGGUGACUAUUUCUGAGGAGAACAUGAGCAGUGAAGAUUCACCUUGGAGCUAGAACAGGGACGUGCACAUGAUUAUACAGGGGCAGGGGCUCAAGUUUUUUCCAGUCAUUUAUACAAUAUGGAAAUUAAUGUGAAAUUAAAAAACAAAGUAUUAAUAGAAAGGUUAUGACUGUCCUGUGUAGAUGACAGUGAUAUCCAAUAGGCUAGGCACUCACGAGGCUGGCUGUGGCAAGUGUAAGUGAAAGCAACACGCACUGGCAGGAAGAACAGCAAACGCCGAUGAAGGAAAAGGGUCUUUGCAGUGAUGGGCGUUACCAGAGAGGGCGAUGGCCAGAGGAAACAAAUGGGACGGGGAGGCAGCGCGUUGGGGGGGGGGACGCGACACAGCUCGGGCCCGCCAGUGCCCCAACGGGGUCCUAGUUAGGGCCCGAGCGUAGCUGCUAAGCAGCUGCGAGAGCCCUAUUGUUCCUGUAUCGGUUUUUCUUUCUUCUUUCUUUCUUUCUUUCUUUCUUCUUAUUUUUCCUCCCCUUUGAACUGGAAAAAACUCACUUCCCACUGGCGAAAACUCAUGAAAUUUGGCAGGACGACCGGGCCUGGUGAAAAAUUCGAUAUUCUGAAGUCGCCUAAACAAUAAAAUGCAAAAUGGCUCCAUAGCGCCCCCAAAGGUGAAAAUUCACACCAUUGACUGUCACGCCUGUACGCUUUGUCAAAAUGACACAAAAUUUGACACACAUAUGUAUCUCAAUAAGAUCUACGAAAAAAUCAGCGCGGGCGUAUCUGUCAAAUGUACGGUUAAAGGUUUAUUUCGCAUUUUUUGCCGAUCCGCACACAUUGGAAUUUCGCUAACUCCUCCGAAGGCUUUUGUUCCACUGGCACCACAUUUGCUCAGGUCAAUCUACACCCCAUGGCCAUUAAAAGUUGUACAAAUCAUGACGCUGCACCCCGCGGUUUAGGUUCUAGGGGGCGCCAAAGAUGACCCAAAAAUCCACAUUCUUAAAAGUCUUAUAACUUUUUAUUUUUGUCCCCACUGGCCUUGAAGUUCUCUAGGAUGAUGCAAUGUCCAGCCAUCAACACAUUUGUGGAGGAAUUUUUACUCCCCAAAAGAGCGCCCCCCCAUGGCAGGAGAAAAAAGGCCAUUUUUUCUUGUCCCCUAAGGUGAAAAUACACAUUGUUGAGUGUCACACCUGUACGCUUUGUCAUAUUGACACAAAAUUUGACAAUCACGUGUAUCUCAAUAAGAUCUACGAAAAAGUCAAUGCGGGCGUAUCUGUCAAAUGUACGGUUAAAGGGCUAUUUCGCAUUUUUUGCCAAUUCGCACACAUUGGAAUGUGGCUAACUCCUCCUAAAGCUUUCGUCCCAUCAACACCAAAUGUGCUCAGGCCAAUCUACACCCCAUGGCCAUUCAAAGUUGUAAAAAUCAUGAUGCUGCACCCAACGGUUUACGUUCUAGGGGGCGCCAAAGAUAACCCAAAAAUCCACAUUUUCAAAAGUCUUAUAACUUUUUAUUUUUGUCCUCACUGGCCUCCAAGUUUUCUAGGAUAAUGCAAUGUUCAGCCAUUAACACAAUUGUGAAGGAAUUUUUACUCCCCAAAAGAGCGCCCCCCCAUGGCAGGAGAAAAAGUCAAGGUUUUCCUGCCCAUCGCUCAAUGGCUCAAACGCAUCGCUCUCUCGGCAAAACCGAAAGGAGGAGCAACUUGCCAUUUGGAUAUAUCCUAGCUGUGUUUGUGCCCUCACUCAUGGUCCAGACUUUUUUCAAAAAGGACAUGGAGUUUUUCUGCAGCGAGCAUUUUGGUAGAAACUGCGCCUCCCAUUCAUUAUAAUGGUAAAUGACCACAGACAAGUGCGCACACCAUCUUUGGACCUUGAGUGUGAGGCGAUCGGAAGGGGGGGCGGUCGCGAUGGGGGCGGCACAACACGGCUCGGGCCCGCCAGUGCCCCAACGGGGCCCUAGUCUUCUUAUUAGGGCCCGAGCGUAGCUGCUAAGCAGCUGCGAGAGCCCUCUUGUUCCUGAUGGAUUCUUCUUUCGUUAUUUUUCCUCCGCUUUAAACUGGAAAAUGGCCCACUUCCCACUGGCGAAAACUCAUGAAAUUUGGCAGGACGACCGGGCCUGGUGAAAAAUUCGAUAUUCUGAAGUCGCCCAAACAAUAAAAUGCAAAAUGGCUCCAUAGCGCCCCCUAAGGUGAAAAUUCACAUGCGGGCUGUACGCUUUGUCAAAAUGACACAAAAAUUGACACACACAUGUAUCUCAAUAAGAUCUACAAAAAAGUCAGUGCGGGCGUAUCUGUCAAAUGUACGGUUAAAGGGUUAUUUCGCAUUUUUUGCAGAUCUGCACACAUUGGAAUUUCGCUAACUCCUCCGAAGGCUUUCGUUCCACCGGCACCACAUUUGCGCAGGCCAAUCUACCCCCCAUGGCCAUUAAAAGUUGUACAAAUCAUCUUGCUGCACCCCACGGUUUAGGUUCUAGGGGGCGCCAAAGAUAACCCAAAAAUCCAAAGUGUUAAAAGUCUUAUAACUUUUUAUUUUUCUCCAAACUGGCCUCCAAGUUUUCUAGGAUGAUGCAAUGUCCAGCCAUCAACACAUCUGUGAACAAAUUUUUACUCCCCAAAAGAGCGCCCCCCCAUGGCAGGAGAAAAAAGUCCAUUUUUUCUUGUCCCGUAAGGUGAAAAUACACAUUUUUGAGUGUCACCCCUGUACCCUUUGUCAUAUUGACACAAAAUUUGACAAUAACGUGUAUCUCAAUAAGAUCUACGAAAAAGUCAAAGGGCACAUAUCUGUCAAAUGUACGGUUAAAGGGCUAUUUUGCAUUUUUUGCCGAUUCGCACACAUUGGAAUUUCGCUAACUCCUCCGAAGGCUAUCUUUCUACCGGCACCAAAUUUGCUCAGGCUAAUCUACACCCCAUGGCCAUUAAAAGUUGUACAAAUCAUGAUGCUGCCCUCCACGGUUUAGGUUCUAGGGGGCGCCAAAGAUAACCCAAAAAUCCACAUUCUUAAUAGUCUUAUAACUUUUUAGUUUUGUCCUCACUGGCCUCUAAGUUUUCUAGGAUGAUGCAAUGUCCAGCCAUCAACACAUUUGUAAAGGAAUUUUUACUCCCGAAAAGAGCGCCCCCCAUGGCAGGAGAAAAAAGUCAAUUUUUUCUUGUCCCCUAAGGUGAAAAAACACAUUGUUGACUGUCACGCCUAUACGCUUUGUCAAAAUGACACAAAAUUUGACACACACGUGUAUCUCAAUAAGAUCUACGAAAAAGUCAAAGAGCGCGUAUCUGUAUAAUGUACGGUUAAAGGGCUAUUUUGCAUUUUUUGCCGAUUCGCACACAUUGGAAUGUGGCUAUCUCCUCCUAAGGCUUUCGUCCCACCGAUACCAAAUUUGCUCAGGGCAAUCUACACCCCAUGCCCAUUCAAAAUUGUAAAAAUCAUGACGCUGCACCCCACGGUUUACGUUCUAGGGGGCGCCAAAGAUGACCCAAAAAUCCACAUUCUUAAAAGUCUUUUUGGCCACUGCAGGAGUACAGAGUACUGCAGUUCUAGGGGGCGCCAAAGAUGACCCAAAAAUCCACAUUCUUAAAAGUCUUUUUGGCCACUGCAGGAGUACAGAGUACUGCAGGAUACACACACAUAUACACACACGCCAACAUACACACACACACACACAGACACACACACACACACUCAGAGUCUGUUUUUUAUCACCUUCAAAAACAUGCUGUUUACAUAUUUGACAAGAAUGCAGAGGCUUCCUUUUGCCCCUGAAAAAAAUCAAAUUUCAAACACAACUUGACUGUUCAUUUCUCCAAAAGACAACCAUGAAGCUCCAUUUCAAACCUGAAGCAAAUAGUUGGUGCAUGUGUACAGUAACCUGAGGGGAGUGAGGUGACUAUUUCUGAGGAGAACAUGAGCAGUGAAGAUUCACCUUGGAGCUAGAACAGGGACGUGCACAUGAUUAUACAGGGGCAGGGGCUCAAGUUUUUUCCAGUCAUUUAUACAAUAUGGAAAUUAAUGUGAAAUUAAACCACAAAUAUGUGUGAUGAACUGUUUUUAAAACUUAAACUUCAAAUAAAAAUUGUAAACUUCAAAACAUAUGCAAAUUUUUAACAAAGAACAUAGUAAUUUACCUCUAUUUACAUCAAAAUGCAGGCAAUGGCCCAGGCGUUCUUUGUAAAAUUAUUUACAAAACACUGUAUAGUCUCACAAAUGUCACUUUUUAUUUAUGCCACUACAAAAAAACAUGAUGUAAAUGAUGCAUGAUGUAAAACAUGAUGUAAAAAACUUGUGUAGAUCCUCCUCUAUGUCAGUCCAUGUGUAAUUUUUCCAUAAUUCUUUGUUUUUUGCAGCAUUUUUGUUAGUGUAACUGCAGAUUGUGCUGACAGUGUCUAUGGCACAAAAAAAAAAAAUUUUAAAAUGCCUCAACAUGAACCCCUGGUGGUCUCUGAGGGUGAAACCUGCUAACUGCUGCAGCUCUGUCAGCUUCAGUCUCCCAUGCAGAGCUCUGAGUGCAUGUGUGGCUCUGCACCCUUAGCAGCGUUGCUAACUCCUCAGUAAGGAAAGCCUGCUUCAUGUCAGAGUCUCUAAACUCCAGAAGUCGAUAAAAGUCCCUUUCUUUCUAAAAAAAAGUCGUUAGGGGGUCUGAAAAGUCAUUGAAUCUAACAACAAAGUCGCUAGGUUUGCAACUACGUGUCCCAGACUGCAUCCCUGCUGAGAGUCCCUCCCUCCCUUCUCAUGUUGCAGGAAGAACGUAAGCGCCCGCCCCUUGUCAAUCAGUCACCAUAUAAUUUUGGAUUGGUUGUUGUGGUGAAGUUUUCCACCAAUAGGAGAGAUGUUGUGGUGUGUUUUUUUUUUUCUUUUGGCAAGCCUUUUCCGCCUGUAAGACCUGUCACUAAUGUCUGCAUGCUAUGUUUUCCUGUCUCAUACAGCGCGAUCGAGCGCCGAACGUGAUCAAAAUAAGCAGAAAAAAAGUAUCGCGGACAUAAUUUAUCAUAACUCUGGUUUUAUUUGGCCUAUCAACACAAUUUAAAAACUGGCUCGGGCCCGCCAGUGCCCCAACGGGGUCCUAGUUAGGGCCCGAGCGUAGCUGCUAAGCAGCUGCGAGAGCCCUCUUGUUCCUGAUGGAUUCUUCUUUAGGGCCCGAGCGUAGCUGCUAAGCAGCUGCGAGAGCCCUAUUAUUCCCCAAGUGGUUUUUCUUUGUUUCUUUCUUUCUUCUUUUUCCUCCCCUUUGAACUGGAAAAUGGCCCACUUCCCACUGGCGAAAACUCAUGAAAUUUGGCAGGAUGACCGGGCCUGGUGAAAAAUUUGAUAUUCCGAAGUCGCCCAAACAAGAAAAUGCAAAAUGGCUCCAUAGCGCCCCCUAAGGUGAAAAUUCACACUAUUGACUGUCACGCCUUUACGCUUUGUCAUAUUGACACAAAAAUUGACACACACAUGUAUCUCAAUAAGAUCUACAAAAAAGUCAGUGCGGGCGUAUCUGUCAAAUGUACGGUUAAAGGGUUAUUCCGCAUUUUUUGCCGAUCCGCACACAUUGGAAUUUCGCUAACUCCUCCGAAGGCUUUCGUUCCACCGGCACCACAUUUGCUCAGGCCAAUCUACACCCCAUGGCCAUUAAAAGUUAUUCAAAUCAUGACGCUGCACCCCACGGUUUAGGUUCUAGGGGGCGCCAAAGACAACCCUAAAAUCCACAUAUUUAAAAGUCUUAUAACUUUUUAUUUUUGUCCUCACUGGCCUCCAAGUUUUCUAGGAUGAUGCAAUGUCCAGCCAUCAACACAUUUGUGAAGGAAUUUUUACUCCCCAAAAGAGCGCCCCCCCAUGGCAGGAGAAAAAAGUCCAUUUUUUCUUGUCCCAUAAGGUGAAAAAACACAUUGUUGACUGUCAUACCUGUACGCUUUGUCAUAUUGACACAAAAUUUGACAAUCACAUGUAUCUCAAUAAGAUCUACGAAAAAGUCAAUGCGCGCGUAUCUGUAAAAUGUACGGUUAAAGGGCUAUUUUGCAUUUUUUGCCGAUUUGCACACAUUGGAAUUUCGCUAACUCCUCCGAAGGCUUUCGUUCCACCGGCACCACAUUUGCUCAGGCCAAUCUACACCCCGUGGCCAUUCAAAGUUAUCAAAAUCAUGACGCUGCACCCCACGGUUUACGUUCUAGGGGGCGCCAAAGAUGACCCAAAUAUCCACAUUCUUAAAAGAAUCCACAUUCCCCCCCCCCCCCCCCAUCCCCCAACCCCCAUGGCAUGGUUGUGCCCUCACUCAUGGUCCAGUCCUUUUCAAAUAGGACAUGUAGUUUGUCUGCGGCGAGCGUUUUGGUAGAAACUGCGCCUCCCAUUCAUUAUAAUUGUAAAUGACCACAGACAAGUGCGCACACCAUCUUUGGACCUUGAGUGUGACGCGAUCGGUAGGGAGAGGCGGUCGUGUUGGGGGCGGCGCGACACUGCUCGGGCCCGCCAGUGCCCCAACGGGGCCCUAGUCUUCUUCUUAUUAUUUUUCUGCCCCUUUGAACUGGAAAAUGGCCCACUUCCCACUGGUGAAAAGUCAUGAAAUUUGGCAGGACGACCGGGCCUGGUGAAAAAUUCGAUAUUCUGAAGUCGCCCAAAAAAUCAAAUGCAAAAUGGCUCCAUAGCGCCCCCUAAGGUGAAAAAUUCACAUGAUUGAGUGUCACGCCUGUACGCUUUGUCAAAAUGACACAAAAUUUGACACACAGGUGUAUCUCAAUAAGAUCUACAAAAAAGUCAGUGUGGGCGUAUCUGUCAAAUGUACGGUUAAAGGGCUAUUUCGCAUUUUUUGCCGAUCCGCACACAUUGGAAUUUCGCUAACUCCUCCGAAGGCUUUCGUUCCACCGGCACCAAAUUUGCUCAGGCCAAUCUACACCCCAUGGCCAUUAAAAGUUGUAAAAAUCAUGACGCUGCACCCCACGGUUUACGUUUUAGGGGGCGCCAAAGAUAACCCAAAAAUCCACAUUCUUAAAAGUCGUAUAACUUUUUAUUUUUGUCCUCACUGGCCUCCAAGUUUUCUAGGAUGAUGCAAUGUCUAGCCAUCAACACAUUUGUGAAGGAAUUUUUACUCCCCAAAAGAGCGCCCCCCCAUGGCAGGAGAAAAAAGUCCAGUUUUUCUUCCCCCCUAAGGUGAAAAUUCACAUUAUUGAGUGUCACGCCUGUAUGCUUUGUCAUAUUGAAACAAACUUUAACAAUCACGUGUUUCUCAAUAAGAUCUACGAAAUAGUCAAUGGGCGCGUAUCUGUAAAAUGUACGGUUAAAGGGCUAUUUCGCAUUUUUGGUCGAUUCGCACACAUUGGAAUGUGGCUAACUCCUCCUAAAGCUUUCGUUCCACUGACACCAAAUUUACUCAGGCCAAUCUACACCCCAUGGCCAUUCAAAGUUGUAAAAAUCAUGACGCUGCACCCCACGGUUUAUGUUCUAGGGGGCGCCAAAGAUAACCCAAAAAUCCACAUUCUUAAAUGUCUUAUAACUUUUUAUUUUUGUCCUCACUGGCCUCCAAGUUUUCUAGGAUGAUGCAAUGUCUAGCCAUCAACACAUUUGUGAAGGAAUUUUUACUCCCUAAAAGAGCGCCCCCCAUGGCAGGAGAAAAAGUCAAGUUUUUCCUGCCCAUCGCUCAAUGACUCAAACACAUCACUCUCUCGGCAAAACCGAAAGGAGGAGCAACUUGCCAUUUGGAUAUAUCCCAGCUGUGUUUGUGCCCUCACUCAUGGUCCAGUCCUUUUCAAAUAGGACAUGUAGUUUGUCUGCGGCGAGCGUUUUGGUAGAAACUGCGCCUCCCAUUCAUUAUAAUUGUAAAUGACCACAGACAAGUGGGCACACCAUCUUUGGACCUUGAGUGUGACGCGAUCGGUAGGGAGAGGCGGUCGUGUUGGGGGUGGCGCGACACGGCUCGGGCCCGCCAGUGCCCCAACGGGGCCCUAGUUUGUUAUUAUUAUUAUUUUUCCUCCGCUUUAAACUGGAAAAUGGCCCACUUCCCACUGGCGAAAACUCAUGAAAUUUGGCAGGACGACCGGGCCUGGUGAAAAAUUCGAUAUUCUGAAGUCGCC